UUUUUUUUUUUUUUUUUUUUUUUUUUGUCGACGGAGUGGGGUGUCCGGGUCAAGUCCGUAAAGGCGGCCCGACUAAUCCCCACUCCGGCCCGGUCUAGCGCCCCAACCAGACCCAGCACGUUAGAUGCACGGCGAACUGAUGUUGCUGCGGAGCUUCGACCCCAGGACCUAACGGUCCCGAGGAAGAGGCGCCAACCACCAGCCCAUUCACGUGGGGGCUAGUAGGGAGUUUGUUAGGCGGAGAAUUUCGACAUAGAAAACUUUUUUUUUUUUUUAGGGAUCCACAUAGAAAACUUGCUAACCUUUUUCCUUGUCGUGUAUCCAUUUUACACAGUUUAUAGGGCCAUAUUCCGAACUCUAUGGCAAACAUGACAGUAGCUCAAAUUCAACGAGCAAUUGGAGAUGCCAGGAACGAUAACCAUGUAGCCAUCAAAAUGGCAAUUGUACAAGUCUUGACAUGUAGAAAAAAAAAAUCAUUAUCCACUUAGAAUUUUCCCUGUACUUUCAGCCAAUCUCCAACCACAAAUCUGCCCAAACUACCAACAAAUUACUCAGUUGUUUUUACUUGAAGUGGCAGAGCCAUCUCAUUACGAGAGUAACAACUCAUAUAGAUUGGCCUACUCUCAGAACUCUUCACAUGUGAAACAGGAGGUGCACAGGAAAAAUGGGUACAAAAGGACCGUGGUCAUUAACGGACAAUUUUGUCUCCCAGCUAGAUAUAUAAUGUCCCAUUUCCAUUUAUCAUGUUCUUGAACCAGAGAAAUCAUCAAGUCUCAAAUAAACACAUAUAGAGUAGGAUUCAUUCUUACUGUUAUAUUUUUUAUUUAACUUUCAUCUUGUACUUGUUUAUUUUAAUUAUGGUACAAGGAAAAAUUUGAAUAAGCAUUGUAUGACUAGUUAGAUUGAGGCUAUGAUAUGAGAAACUUGAAUAUGGGUUUUGUAAACUACUGUUGGGGAGAAAACCCUGAGAACCAAAUAAAGAGGUCCAAUAUAUGAAUACUCAUAUUACACCCAAGUUACUUCCCUAGUCCACCGUAAUACUCAAGGCAAAUUCAACUAUUUGGAGCUAAAUCGUGGACCCUAUUUUCUUCAACACGUUAAUAGAAUCCCCGUCAAACCCCUAGUUCCAAGAUACACCAACUAGACUUAACAUAUUACUGGCUGCAUGGCCCAACAUAGGACAAUAACAAUUUAUCCGUCCGACAAAAAGAUAGCAAUUUACUGAUCUAUUAUUGAGAAGAAACAACUUGCGAAUAUGUAGCCUAGACUCAAACUCGAAACCCUUUUUAUAAAGUGUAAAAUAAAAGAUCACAAAUUUAGAAUCUCUCACUUACACUCUCUUCUUCUGUACUAUUCAAUUUAUCCCUUUCUUAUAACUCAAAAACUUUGAUACCGUUGGUUGAGAAAAAAAAUUCAAAGAGCUGAGAGCCCAUCAUAGGGGCUUAAAAUAUUUAGGAGCCUAAUGCCGAUGCAAAAGGUUAAAUUGAUAGGUCUUAAACCCUUAUCUAUAUAUUAAAAACUCCUUUUUUUUUCUCUAAAAAUAAGGUAGGAUAACUAAUUUUACUCAUGAACCUAAAAAUUGUUCAAUUUGAUGGAGCUGGAAAUGAACUUCCCCAGUUAACUUAGUCUAAUGUCUAGUUGACUCAUGAGAUGUGUCCAGUUUCAUUACUUUGGAACUCCAACAUAAACUUACCAUGAUCACUUCAGAAGAAAAUAUUAUAUAUGAAUAUCCUCCAAUAGCCACUUUCCUCCUUAAUUCAAACAUAGACUUCCUUCCUUUAGCUAAUACACCUCUCUCUAUAAUUCAGACCCCAUUCCAGCAUCUAGGAGGAAUAUUCCACCAAAAUGUGAACCCCAAAAAAAAAACAAAAACAAAUAUGUAAUAGACUCUUAGGUUAAUGUGGUAUGGCUGAUGAAGCCAGUAAUAUAUACAACCACACAAUUGAAGAUAAGAGUUGAUGGUUCGGGAGGCAAUGAUCAUUUUAUGGACGAGAUGCGAGUAAAGUUGCGUGUAAUGUCCGGCAAUUAUAGCACGACUUUUCAUGUACUGUUGUCCUACUCUAGUUUUGUUCGGUAUGAAAUGGUAAACGAUUUCAUCUCAGGAUUUUUGUCUAAAGAACGUCAACGUCUAAACAGCUGCAAAGCAAUUUACCAAUUUAGCAUACAAUAACCCUUCGUGCAAUUUAGCAUUUAACCUAUUUCCAAAGCACCAUUAAAUCACUAUCAGUUUCCUUCUUUAAUUGAUUUAUGUUGGCAAUCAUUUCUUUAGCUUAAGAAGUUCCUUGUUUAAAAUCUUUUCCAUCUCUACAACUGUCCUUGCAGGAAUGUGAUGCAGUGGCAGAAGAUUAUUUCUUUGCAUACCCUGACCAGGUCACCUAAAAUAAAUGUACAGACUGAUUUUAUUUGGGGUUACAAAUUUGUAUAUUAUUUGGUUGAAUGGCUACCCACAUCAAAGUAUUCAGAUUAUAUUAAGUUCAUAAGUUCACAAAAAAUAUCCAAAAGAUUAAGGGAGAAAAAAUAUCCAAAAGAUUAAGGGAGUCAUGGAUUUGAUGAAUGUCUGAUAAGAGGUGGCAAUUAUACCCAAAAUCCAACAACCCACCCAACCCACCCACUAAUUUAAGAGGUUGGGUUGGGUAAAUUGGGUGUUGGGUUAAUUUUGGAUUGGAUAAUAAAAACCCACAUAUAUUUUGGACGGUUUGGGUAAUUAAGUUGGGUACCCAUUACCCAACUUAAAAAAACAAUGGAGGCCUCUCGUCUGAGAAUUUUCAAUCCACCACCGUUUUCUCAACUUUAAGCAUUUUGGCACAUUCUUGUCAACUGCAUCGGGCUUGCUGUUUUUUUUUUUUUUUUUCCCUUUAAGACAGCAGACUUGCAAGUCUAUACACAUCUUGUUCCUUUACUAAUUGGUUUUAGGAUUGUGAAGAUUACUGUUCAACUGCAUGUUAAUGUACAUAUACAUAUUUUUUUCCAUUGUUAUCUUUUGGAUGGGAAGAUUCUAUUAGCAACUCGUGUUUUUAAGCAUUUACUAGUCCCUAAAAAAUCUAGCAAAAUAUGCAGGCAAAUUUUUAAUUGCUUUCAUAAGUUGCUCAAUUAUUAAUUAAAAUUUGUCAAUUAGAUCAUUCAUGGGUCCAAUUUUCUUUCUUCUUCGUCUUUUUUUUUCCUUUUUUGGCCCUUGACAUGAAGGUUUAUCACAAGACAAGAUUGAUAUUCAACCACAAUAAUUGUGUAAAAAGUGCAAAGUGAGGUUAUUUAAUAGUAAUGAAUAAAAGGAACCCAAAAGUCACAAAUCUCAAAUGAAUUGGAUGGUGAUAUUUGAACUAAUUGGUUGAGAAUUGUAUCUCUCUUAUCAAGUUUCAAUUUAAUUAAGGCGUGAUUGGAUCUUGUUUAAUAUUGGUAUAACAUUUUUUCAUGCUAUAUUCAACUUGGACCAAAAUUAUUUUAGUGUGUGAAAAUGUGUUUAUGUGUGUGAAAAAAAAUUUUUGUAUGCAAAAAUAUAUUUGAGAGAAUUUAUGUAUCAAAAUCUAUUAAUUAAUAUAUUGAGUCAUAUUUGGGUCUUGGGUUUAAGAUGACCCAAUGUAACCCAACCCAAAAUUAACCCGAUUUAAAGUUGGGCGAGUUGGGUAUAACCCAUUUAAGUAAAAACCCAAUAUCAACCCGUCCAACCCGUCCAAUUGCCCGGUAUAUCUGAUAUGAAUCUUGGGUUGACUUGGUUUAUUAUCAUAUUAAAUUUCACUUUUAGACACUUUCUGCUCUUAAGACCUUCAAAUUUAUUCCAUUUAAAUUCAAUCCAUAAUAUUAUUAACAAGACUAACAGAAUAGGGAUACAGUGCAAAUCAAUAACAAAUUGAUGAAUGUGGUUAGAAAGAGUAAGGGGAUCGUAAUUGGAACAAAAUUAUGCAUUCAUACGUACACAAAGCAUAAAACAUGAUAAUUAUUCAUUGCUGUAAAAAGUGAAAGCGGUGGUUGUUUAACUUAGUAAUUUAACAUUAAACAAGAAAAAGAAGUACAACUUCUGAACAAGUCUUUGGUACAUCACGUUUUGCAGUUACUCAGACACUCAACAACAACUCAACAGUAAAAACAGCAAAAUGUAAAUAGUUAUUAAGCAGGUAGACCCUGCAAGACUCUUCAUUUGAUGAAAAUUCUCCACGUUCAAAGUUGAGCUAAGCGACUUAUGUCAAUUGGAUAUGCAUCUGAUGACUUUUGAGCCCUGUAUGAUCUUCUCCCAACUAUGAUAUUUGCAGCUUCAGUUGGAUGAAAUGCAUCCCAAAAUAGAUGCUGAUUUCUGUUAGGACAUGGAGUUUGAAAAGGAAGACAUGUUAUCUGGCCAUUGUUUCUCCCAACUCCACAGCAACCUCUAUUUGUCACAGUGAAACCUGCGCAGAAAAUUAAAUAUAAUUCGAAACCAGCUAGAUGCAUUUUCCAACCCCCUCCAAGAGUUGAAUUUUCGUAGUUAACAUAACAUUUUGAAUUUUUUAAAAUUUUUAUUUGUGAAGUAAAAAAUUGCAUCAACUCAAACAAUAAAUGUGCAAAUAAAUUUCUAGGAGAAAUGGCAUGGAAGUUACCAAAAGCAGAGGGACUGCUGAUUAAAUCCUGGAAAAUCCCAUAAGCAUCAAUGUAGAUAAAUCUUGCAUCAGUGAAUUGAUUGUUCAAGGUGUCCACUAAAGACUUAAGUUUGCUAUUGAACAUCUGAUUUGCCGAGUUGAUUCUGGCCACACAAGUUCUGCCAUCCGGGCUAUUUUGGGCUAAUUCAUUUGGACUGCAUCCAAUUUGACCCACUCCGAUCAAAACAAGCUUCCUUGCUCCAAGGUUAUACAAUCUCUAUCGACAAUCAUAAACAUCAAAAUGUCAAACUUAGAACUUAAGAAAGAAAAAAGUAAGAAAAAAAAAAUAAAGGAACACUUCUAUUCUAUGAAAUAUGAAUAGGGCUUGUAAUGAACUUUAAGAGGAAAAAAAAAGAGAAGGAGGAAAUACAUGAAAGAGUAAUUAAAUGAAAGAAAGGAUAAAUGAAAAACCAACAAGAACUUUUAAAAGUUAGCACUGCUUCUCGAUCAUUAAUUUUCCCUUUUUAGUAAAUUAAAACAAACAGGUGGCUAAGCAGACUGCGUUUAAGUUAUUUUAUUUUAUUCUAUUUUUCUGUUUGUUAGUCUUCAUAGUGCUUUAAAAGAUUUGUUCACAGUUCCUCAUUUCCAGCUCAUAAUUAAUAUCACCUAAACUAUUGUCCUUCUGCCCAAGUCAAAAGGGAGGUUGGUCGAUUGGUACAACAUUGGAAAAAACACCCUUAGAAUACGACUAAGCAAUAAAUACAACUAGCUUUUGUUCAAGGAGGCAGAGACUUCUGAAACAAAUUGUGCGUGAAAUUGUCCAAGAAAUUAAUUCCUCAUGCUGUCAUGCAUGGUAGCUUUUGCUACAGCAUGAUGAUCAGAAGUCGAAGGAGACUAGAAGAGUGCAAUUACAUCUCUAAGAAUGACAUAAUGUACAUCAGACACCUCAUUUCUUUGCCUUUUCAUUUCUUUCUGUCCUCUUGCCUUUUUUUUUUUCCCUUCGUCAUUUAUCUCCAUAUAAAACAUAGAGUUACUUAAAUUCUCUACCCAAGCAUGCAUCAGCAAAUUUUUUCUCUAUCUCAUCACAUGAUAUGAUAUAUGAAUGGGAUAAUUAAAAAUUUUAGUCAUGGAAAAAUAUGAGUGUCUCACCCUUAUUUGUUGAGAAUACUGGCCAAUAAGAGCAUUAGCAAAUUGCUCAGGUGUGAAUUGUCUGCUACUUGAGUAGAAUAGAGGCAUGAAAUAAUUGUUAAGAUAGUCAUUGCUGCCAAGUCCAACUGAAUAUAUGCAUUUGCUAAGGUAAGCUGCAGCACGGUUUUGGUCUCCAAGUAAGCUCACAAUUUGAGAAACUGUGUUGUUGUAAUUAUUCACCUGCCCAGUAAAACUAGUUCUGGCACCCUAUAUGAGAGAAUUCAUCAGCACCUUCAUAUGCAUGUAGACCAAAAAAAAAAAAUAAUGUAGUUGUCAAAAACAAAGUAAUCUUUUGUAGUAUUACCAAUUGCUGGCCAGUUUCUUCUCUAAUUCCAGCAGCAGCUGAAGCAUAAUUUACUCCUUUGAGUAUGUCUUGGCCCUGGGCUCUUGUGAAGGGUCGAAUAUAUCCAUUGAAUCCCAGUAGCUCAGCUGAUGAUGAAGCAAACACAUUGAAUAGGAAUAAUCAAAAUGAAAAUAACACAUAAAUUAAAAUAUACGUGUGUGUAGAUUAAUACAUGUGUGUGUAUAUAAAAAAAAUGUUAUUUGCAUUCCUAUUUUUGUUAAUCACACUCUCACUAUCAUUUUAAUCAUAUAACUUUCAUUUAUUAAACUAUAUCAUGAUAAAAUAAAAUAAAAAUUGAGUGUAAUGUGUGUGUGUGUGAGUGACGGAACUAAAAAAAAAAUUAACUAGUAUACAAAAUCGAUAUUGUAAAAAAAAAAAAAAAAAAACCUUUAGACUGCUACGAGAAUUACCCAACAUCACACUAUAUGCAGUAUGUUUCCAAAUUUUACUUGCUAGGCAGAUAUUGCAGUAUCUCGAAAACGUUCUUGCCAAUGCGGAAAAUAUACGUAGUAAAAUAUAGUAUUACGUGAGACCAUAAAGCGAAUACUUUCUUUGACAUGCAAUUAGUAAACAACGAAGAACAUGUAGUCAUUAACCGCUUGAAAAUGAUAGUCAAGAGAAUAUGCACAAAAGCAGCUCAUCAUUAGAUGUGACAAGUUCGACGGAUAUUUGCUAAUUCUUCGAAUGUAUAUGUUAUGACUGCAUGUUCAUGGUAAUCUUAUUUUUAAUAUUGUCAAUAUGAAGUUGACCUAAUUUCAGAAUUAGGAAGCUGAUAAAUAUUACCUUUUAAAUAAAGAGAAAGUAUAGAUAUAUACGACCAAUCGAGCAACAAAUUAGUGAGAGAGUAAGAGAGAGGGGUUCAAAACUCACUUAUAACAUCAACGGUGGUUUUUCCAUUACAAAACCUUCCAGUUGGUCCACCAGGAAAAUCGAUUCCAUAGGGCAAGUAAUUAGCUUUAGCCAAAGAAUUGAUAUUGUUGUUGUUACCAUUGUCCACCAGGGAAUCUCCAAAAAUAAAGUAACAUGGAACCUGGGGCUGUGCUAAAACCCGGUUCGGCACCACCACCACCACCAUCACAACAAACCCCACCAAGAAUUUCUUGAACUCAGCCCCCAUUUGCAACAUAUUUUAGAAUAAAACAAAAGGGAGUUCAAAGAAUUUUGUAGCUAAAAAAAAAGGGCUAGUACUAAAAGGUGGUGGACUCCUUUUAGCUAUUGAGUGAUGAAAUUCUAGGAGCAUCAAGUGUGUUAUUUAUACACAUAUUUUAAGGUCAGACUUGAAAGGCUUGGCAAUCAAUUAAUAGGUGUGCAGCAGUUAGUUCUGGGAAUCAAUCAGUCAAGCAAUUAACUUUUAUGGGUGAGAAGUAACGGUGCAUUAAAUUUAACGCGGAUAGACUUUGAGUUUCUUUACAGUUUACACUGAUGGCCAAACAGAGUUAGUUUGAAAUGGUCGUCAAUUUGACAAUCGCCCCUUUUGUCUGCGCCGACGACACAAUUCGUACUGCUGCUUGCGAGCGCCAAAGAAGUCGGUACAAGCAUACUUAUAAAGUCCCUCCCGGUCGAGUCGGCCAACCCGAUUUAUCCGGUAGGAUCGAAUUGAUCACUAAUUAGGUGAGUUAAGCAAUAGAUUCAUCUGAUCAACGAUUCAGCGGUUGGAUCACCGAUUUAAAAUAUUGAUUAUUUUUAUAAUUUAAAAUAUAUUAUUAUAUUAUAUAAUAUAACUAUUGUCCAACCUGCGGUUGAACUGGAUCACCUCUUUGGAUCGAGUUUCGAGUCGGGUUUAAGAGUACAAGGUCCAUUUUCCCAAAGAAGUUUUAUCGUUUUGGGCCUCGUUUGUUAGUUUAGGCGAGAGAGAGCUUAAAUUGCGAGAUAAAUAUAAUUUGACUUUGAAUUAUUCCAAUCAGAGUUAAUCUACUUAAAUAGUUUGGGACAUUUGCAGAGAGAAAUUAAUUUGAAUUUAUGAGUAUUACAGUUUUCUUCUUGAAAGUUUUAUGGACAAGGUAACUUUUCUUUCAUUUCUCUUCAUUUUGCAAAAGACGUUUUUAGUUAUUUUUGCAUUCCAUUUCUUCCUAUACUCUAGAAUAUUUACUUUAUUUUGUGCUUCCAACUAGUGUAGGAUAAAAUUUCACUAUCAUUAAUUAUAGAUGCACUCUUACUUUAUAGAUGACACAUUAAUUCUUAAAGUAUAAAAUCCAUCCCACUUUAAUUAUUAAACUUUGAGCGUCACUUGCCUACUAUUAUGUUAGUUUUGACAAUCGGUUUCAUAUUUUAAGGGAUAAAAUAUCCAAAGUUGAAGUUUAAGAACUAAACUCCGAUUUUACACUUUAGAAAGUAAAGAGCUCAAAAUUAAAACUAACUUAAAAAUUAAAGCGGGAGUGCAUCAAUAGCUUUAAAGUGGGAGUGCAUCAAAAGGUUUGCUACAUCUGUUCGUAAAAAUUAUUUGGAUUUGUCUUGUAUUCAAGAUAAUUUAAAACGAACACAUUUAUGUUUACUUGCAAAAUUAAAAACAAUUUCUCACUUCUCCAGUUCACAAGGAAAGACAAACAAAACAGAAACGACUUAAAAUUCAUAAUCACAAAUAAAAAGACUGAUGGGUCUAGUUUGCACGAGAGCUUUGAGCACUACAUUUUAUAAACAUCUAAGAAUACAUAUCGAAAUCCUAUCUGAUGCUUCCUCGGUCAUAAUUCAUAAGUCGCCAAGUAUCUGAUUCCCAUCAAAGCAGCAGCCAAAUUCCUGGUUGAACUUUCGACUUGAUUUCCGAAUAAGGUUGUUAAACUUGGACCAGUAAGUGAUCUAAUGGAAUAUCGAGUUGUGACUUUAACCAGUUCAACCAAUUAAACUGGUUGAGUAACCGCAACACCUUUUUUUAUGUAUUUUAAUAUUUGUUGUCCAUGGAUUUUUCUCAAAUAAUGGAUUUUUCUCAAAUGACAUAAUGUUGGACAACAGAUUACUUAAAACUACAAAAGUGUAUAAGCUAAGUUUCAAAUUUACCUAGUACUAACAAAACAUAGAAUAUUAAUGUAAUUAACUAAAGAAAACUAAGCAAUUUCGAAAGUAGCACUGAUCAAUUAUUAACAAAAGCAUAUAUUUGUAUACGCUUACUGCACAUAUUUUUUAGUUUUUAUAAUUUUAGCCCUCAAAUUAUUAAAUUUUCAUACUUUUAAGUUUUAACCCUUCAAUUUAUUGUAUGUAUAUGUUUAACCCUUGAACUCUAAAAACACAUCUAAUCUGACCUUCCCAUUAAUUUGAAUUGUUAAGAGCAAAGGAACCGCUUCAUACAUAGUAUGCAGGCAAAACUUGAAGGUCUAAUAAAUUAACAUGGUGAAAGAAAUAGUUCAAAAUUGGGGAUUUAUCAUUUAAUACAAAUAGGACCAAAUAAAUCAUAUUUUUGCAAUGCCAAUGACAUAAGAAAUUUAAAGUUGACACCAAAUGAGUCUUGGAAUAGCCAAAAAAAUAAUGAUGAGAGUCCAAAAUUCUAUUGUUAAAAUUUAGAUGAUUUCAUUUCAAAUUUCAGUUUUAUCAAACGCACCUUAAAUUUUAUUCAAUUGUCCCCUGCAGAGCACAUAAUUGUAUGUGUACACAGUUGUUAAGGAUAUCAUCUCUAUAUACGGUGUGAACUAUGUGUAGAGGUUUGAUGUGAUAGUGCUUGGCGUUUGAUUUUAAGACGUAAUACUUGAAUUUUUGGAUUUCAGUCCUUUCUGAUAAUAAGUAAUGACUAGCAUAUAUUCAAAUAUGUCUAGAAAUUAGGCGCACAGAUUCUUAUACAUCAUAGUCUAGAUAUAAUUCGUUUCCUUUGUUUUUUUAAAUGUGCUGCUUUGAAAUUUGAAAGAACAAAUUCAACAUUUUCCUAAAACUAUAAGAAUGUCAUGGCGACAGUAGACACUAGCCCUUUUUAACACUAAGCACUUUUGUUAUAGUUAAGUUUAGAAUGACAUGGAAAACGAUGUAGAUAUAGUUUUUUAAAUUUAAGGGAUUUGAAUAAUUUUCUUCCGAAAAGGAUCAAAUGCAUGGGACAAGUGUUGAGUUGUAGAAAAAUAUAUUUAUGACUUAAAAAUACAUUUUUAUAACCAACAAUUACAACGAAAACCUUAAGCUAGAGCAGUAGUAUGCCAUCAAUCAUCUCCUUUGACUCUAAUUAAUUGAAGUUUACAUCUUCAAAGUUGAGCUAAGCGACUUAUGUCAAUUGGAUAUGCAUCUGAUGACUUUUGAGCCCUGUACGCUCUUCUUCCAACUAUGGUAUUGCCAGCUUCAGUUGGAUGAAAAGCAUCCCAAAACAGAUAUUGAUUUCUAUUUCGACAUGGAGUUUGUAAAGGAAGACAUGUUAUUUGGCCAUUGUUUCUUCCAACACCACAGCACCCAACAUUUACGACAGUGAAACCUACACCAGGAAAAAAAGGGCGAAAAUACAGCAAUGUCAAUUACAAAUAUAUACUUUGAACCAUUUUUGUUCUAUUUCAAAAAUUCUGCUAAUUGUCUAUUUUUGGUCAAAAACGAAAACACUAAUCACCAAAUUUUUUUCCAUUGAAAUUUUCAAGACCAUUUAAUACAAUGCUCAAAUUUUUUAUCAAGGGCAUCACAAGUUGAGUUUCGUGUUGUUCAAACCAAUUCAUGUAAUUAUUACUAUAUUUAAUAAAAAUUUGAACAGUUUUUGUAUAAUCGCAAACAUAGUCGUAUGUAUUCAAAAGUUCAAGUUUAAGCCCAAUUGUAUGAGUUUACACCAAAAGUUGUGAGAAUUACGUGAAUUGAUUUAAACCGGAUAGAAUUCAACUUGUGAGGCCCUAAUCCUCAAACUUUAGGUUUGAAACUGUGAUUUUCUCUUUUAAACUACAUCCUUAAUAGUUAAUUUUAGAAAGUAAUGUGUACAAUACCAAAGCUACUGUCUAUUUUAUAAAUACAUGAGACGAAUAUCAGCACGAAAUAUUGAAGUAAAGAAUGAUGAUGCUGAGAAAACUGCAAUAAUAAUUUCAGAAACUGUAAGGAGGCUUAUGACCACAAAUCUCAUGAAAGAUUAAAAGUUACCAUUCUUUGUCUUCAUUGACAUCAUUUCAUAAAUGGAAAUUACUCUAUCUAGCAAAGGACAAUCAGAAAAAUAUCAUUUUCUAGGAAAAAUGGCAUGAGAAGUUACCAUAAGAAGAGGGACUGUUGAGUAUAUCCUGGAAAAUGCCAUAAGCAUCGAUGUAGAUAAAUCUUGCAUCAGUGAACUGGUUGUUCAAGGUGUCCACCAAUGCCUUGAGUUGGUUAUUGAACAACUGAUUGGCAUUAUUGAUUCUUGCUACACAGGUCCUUCCAUCUGGGCUAUUUUGGGCCAAUGCAUUUGGGCUGCAGCCAAUUUGACCCACUCCAAGUAGAACAAGCUUCCUUGCUCCGUAGUUGUACAUUAUCUGCCGUCACAAGUGUGUCAAAAAGUCAAAAUUUGGGAAAGUGCAUUCAAAAAAUUGUGGAAAAAAAGUGGUUUACUACUCUCUUUUUAACUAAAUAAUUUUGAUCUACUGCAUUUUUCCUAUUAGUCAUUAAAGUAAUUAAUGAUAAAUUUAAAAGUAAUUUCCUGCCUCUCUUUUUAGUUUUACUUUUUCUGUUGGCCAUAAAAAAAAAAUCUUUUCCAAAAAAAAAAUGGAGAUCAAAAGAAAAAGAAAAGAGUGGUAUUGAAAAAUACCAAAAUUUUGGCAAUUGGGAAAAAAAAUAUUAUUUUACACUAUAUUCUUAACUAAACUAGUCUUUGCCCUCUCUUUUUUCUUAGAGAACUCAGCCCUCCCAUUUUUACAGUUAUCUAAUUUUUUCCCCCAAGUUUUUAAUUUUUCGCUUCUUGCAAAAACGUAUGCGUUAUUUCUUUCAUGGUGCUUAUAUGCAUAAUGGUUAUCUAGUAGGGUCAUAGGUCAACGUCCCCCCCCCCCCAAAAAAAAAAGUAAGAUACAUGCAACCUUUCUCUACUUUUUGCCAAAUUAUCAUGGUAAAGAAACAAAUGAUAGAUGCACAUGUAAGGGAACCUACUGUUGAAUAAGAAGCUGAGCAAAUUGAAAUGAGAUUCACUUACCCUUAUUUGCUCAGCAUACUGUUGAAUAAGAACCUGAGCAUAUUGCUCAGGUGUAUACUGCCUGCUAGUUGGGUAUAUAAGAGGCAUGAAAUAAUUGUUGAGGUAGUCAUUGCUUCCGAGUCCAACUGAAAAUAUGCACUGGCUUAGGUAAUCUGCAGCAGCAUUUUCAUCUCCCAGUAUGUUCACAAUUGCUCUCACUGUGUUUAUGUAGUUCCUCACUUGUCCAGAAAAGCUUAUCCUUUGACCCUAGUUAUAUUAGAAAAAUGGUUUGAUUGAAAAAGGGAAGUCAUAUUUCAUAUGGUAUUUGAUUAAUUAACAAAGACAACAAAAUUGGAAAAUAUUUGAAAAAUGGUUAGUUUUGUACCAACUGCCUUCCAGUUUCCUCUCUAAUUCCAGCAGCUGCAGAAGCAUAAUUUACUCCUCUAAGUAUGUCUUGGCCACGAACUCUUGAAUAAGGUGGAAUAUAACGGUCGAAGCCCAAUUCCUCAGCUGCCCAUAGAAAUAAAAAAAAAAAAAAGAUAUUAGUCAGACAAUUUUUAUUACUACAAGACAAACUGAAUAUCAAAAGACAGAUUCACAAACACAUGGAACAACAUCCCAUGUUUACAACAUCUAUGAAAUGUCUAGAGGAUUUUUUUCUUUUUGUUUUAUUCAUAGGCAGAAUUAUAAAAUUUCUUCUGAGGGAGUGAACUUUAAUUCAACUAAUCUUUAAUUUGAAAUAUUUUUAAUUUUUUUGGGGCAAAAGUUUAACUAUACAUAAAUUUUUUUAAAAAAAAUUCAACUUUUCAAGAGAGAAAAAAUUAAUUUUUCAAAACUUUCUUGAGAGAAGGGGGGGGGGGGUAGGUGCAAGAACCCCUCCCCGCCACUCCCUAGUUUCGCUCAUGAUUUUACUAUUAUGGAUCUUCUGGUCCAAAAUUUACUUGGUAGAUUAGUGAAGUAAGUAAUUGAUUACGUGACACGGUACACAGUGCCAUUUACAUUUAAUGAUGAGAAAGGCAUAGAUUGAAUUAAAUGUUGACAUGAUUACGUGGAUGAAUAGGUUUAAUGACUGCCUCGAGAUGCAAUUGGAUAAUAAAAGUAGAACAUGCAGACAGCAGUCAUGCACUGUUCGAAUGGAUGGAAGAGACUGUGACACUGAAGGAGCUCGUGAAAUAUUAGAAGAAAUCUUGUUUUUUUUUUAAAAUUUUUGUGGCUAUUUAUUGGGGAUACUAGUAUAGAUCUCAUGACAUGCAACUAUUAUAGGGCAUCAAAAUAAUGACAAAUCUCAUUCUAGACUUUUCUCAUGGUAUAUAGUAGAAAGAUGCUACAUUAGGGAGUCAAAAAAUUUGAAUCGAAGAACUUAAGAAAGGAUGUUUGCUCCGUAGAGAUGAGGAUUGGAAAUGCCUACAAGUUUCAGAUUAGGGGGAAAAAAAAUGACGUUAUGCUUGGGAGGUUAAGCACACAAUUUAAUUGUUAGUAAUAUAUUUGGAUUAAAAGUGUUUAUAAACUCUCAAAAUCACAGAGCAUAUGUAACUUACUACUCACUGGACAUGUUACAUAGAACUUACCAAAGGAACUAAUUAAUUAAUAUACUUGCUUAGGACAUAUAGUAGAUAAUGCAAAACAAAUGAAGUGACAGAGAGAGUAAGAAGAGAGAAAUUAAGCAAAAUAAUGGUUGAGAACUCACUUAUGACAUCUACCGUGGUUUUCCCAUUAGAAAACCUUCCCGUUGGUCCGCGGGGAAAAUCAAUUCCAUAAGGCAAGUAAUUAGCUUUAGCCAAGGAGUUGAGGUUGUUGUUGUUACCAUUGUCCACUAGGGAAUCACCAAAAAUGAAGUAACAUGGGACUUGGGGUUGUGCCAAUACCCCAUUCUCAACAUUCAGCAGCAGCACCAACACCGCUACAAACACCAAGGACAACUUCUUGCAUUCACCCCUCAUUAUUGCACAAAUUUGUGAGGAAAUUUUUUUCAAAAGGGUUUCAAGGAAUUUUGCAGAAAAUAGUGCUAAGUCCUUAAUUCCUAGGACAGUUCACAGGCUUUGUGGCUGAGUGAUGAGCUUGCCAGCGUGAAUUGUGCUAUAUAUAUAUACACACACACACCAAUUGGAAUUGGAAGAAGAUAAGAGUGGGACAAACAAAUAAAAAGGGGUGCACCAAUUGAUAUGGGAGUCAUUGGUUCAGAAAUUGACUUCAUGGAUGAGAAGGCAGUGAAGGUUGCAUUUAAUUCACGCGGAUACAGUAUGAGGUUCCUUAUAUUGAUGUCUAAACUUUGUUGUCUUUCUAAACUGUGAAAACAAAUCGAAAUGCCUGCAAAGCCAUUGUGAUCUGAUUGCUACGCACCAAAUUGUAGGAGUACAAAGAUUAAGUCUACUGGGCAUUUAAAAAAAAGUGAAAUGAGAUGAAUCUGCAUGGAUAUAUCUCAAUCCGAACUUAAUCUCCAUCCAAAUUUUGAAGGUCUGAUCUCAAGUUUUCAUGCAAAGAGAAUAUUUGCAUUAAAACAAGGUCUAAGUACGUGAAAGACUGAAGAUAAGUGGAGCUUUGGAAGAAAAUAACACUUACUGGUUUAAAUGAUUAUUCCCGAUUUUGAGCAACUUUAGCGGUAUAGGUUGUAUAGCUAAUGUUUUCGAAUACUCCAGAUGUAAUUCGUUUUCUUAAAACGUCGGAAACAAUGUCCUUGCUUGGUUUUCUGUUCCUUUUUCUUUUUUCACCAUUUUAAAACAAGAAAUUAUGUAGUGGACAAACUUCUUCUCCCUUUUCCCUACAAGUAAUAAAAAUUAUUUUACAGAAUAUGGUAAGAUCCAAAAAAAAAAAAAAAAGAUAUGCCAAGAUCAGAUUAAUCAAGACAUUUUUUCCCAAAAAUUUUUUAUAUUUUUCGUAAAUAUAUUUCUCAAUCACUUUUUUAUUUCACAUACAUCAAAUUAUUAUUACAGUAUAUUUUUCUAUCAAAACUCCAACAAAGAGCAAUCCAAAUGGAUAUCCUAAAAUGCAUGGUUGACCAUAUGAACAGAUAUCAAAUUAGGAAAAUAGCCACAUAUAUUUUGACUCGGCCUUUAACAUCAAUUAGAGAUAACAAGCGGUUGGCUAGUUCAACGUCGUUGAAAGCAUGCAAUUGGUUUCGUACUUUCGUUUCUGAAGAUGACUUCUGUCAAUUUGACAUUUUAGUCCAGUGUAUGGGAAAGUCGUGUAUAGCUAUGAAGGGAUUAGAAGAAUUAUGUAAAAAAAUAAAAAAAAAUAAAUAAACCACUGAGAACUAAACCAUAAUUAAUCCUUUUAAUGCACGGUCAGCAAUUUAACUGAAAAUGCAUAGGUUACUUCACCUCGAUUUGUACAGGAUAUAUCAUCCAAAUAUGAUUAUUUUUGGUCACUUUACCUAAGCACAUAGGUUAAAAAUAGUGCAUUAACUUUCCCACAAAAAGAAAAGAAAAAAAACCCGUAGUUCACUUACCGACCAUGUAUGUGUGCUUUUUUUUUUCCAGAAUUGACUACAAUUAUUAUUAGUUUGAACAUUCUGGAAGUGAACUCCCUCGAGAAUAAUGCAUUUUAGCCUCGGUCAAUAACCGUUUACUACUUUGCGGAGCAUGUAAAAAAGAAAAAAAAAAAAGAGGAUACAUACUUGAAAGGAUUUUUUCUAAUGUUACUCGGACUUGUGCCUAUUAGUACACCUAAAUGAUACGUUAUUUAUUAUUAUAUAAAUACACACACUAAUAUUUAUUACGCUCCUAUAUUUAAAUACUUUACUAAAUUAACUUCACUUUUGUGGAAGAAUUACUAUGUGAGAAAUCUCUUGAUAAGAUUCUGCCGACAUCGGUUUGCCAAACCCUACUUGAAAUUCCUUCCAAAAAAAAAAAACAAUCCUACUUGAAAUAGGAUUCCAUACUAAUCCAUUUCAUAAAUGACAUGGUGGCUCCACAAAUCCUUUUCCUAACUGUAUGUUAAUUAAGGUGAUAUGUAAACAUGCAUGUGAUACCUUUAAUCAUGCGUCUUCUGGGAUCAACUGAACAGUUUCAACUCCAAGAAAGUGAUCACUUCCAGAUGAAUAAGGCACAAUUUGGUGAAGAUUGAAAGGUUCAACUUUAACUUUAGUAGUUGUGGACUCGGCAGUCCAUUUCUUUACUAAUAAUGCUCUUGUGGAAGCCAUCACAAGUUCACAACAUUAAUUUCUGAAAGAGAUAUGCUAUAAUUAUAUGAAAUGAAAAAAAAAUAAUGACUCCAUUUAUUGCGUGGACAGAGUCUUACGAAGUAACGUGGGUCGGCAAAAGCUUAUAAUAAAUCACGAGCUGCAAUCAAUACGUUUCCAUCACCAUUACUCGGAGUUGUUAAGGGUAUUAAAUUAACAAUUUUCAGAAGAAUAAUGAUACACAAUUAGAAAAUUCUCAAUUCAUCUUAUCUUGGAUAUAUAACGUUCUAACGUGAAUAUAAAGCCUACAAAUUUAUAAGAUAUCUAGAUUUAAAAGGUAUUUCUGCCCCUAUGCAUUAUUAGUAAAGAUUUCCGCGAUUAGAGUUUCAAAAUUCUAACUGUAUAUUACCAUUCUUCUUAGAAAAAAAAAAAAUAGAGAGAGAGAAAAGAAAAGCUGCCAUUAUAUGGUGUGCCGUUGGGCUUGAUCUUAUCAUUUUAUUUCCCUACAAAAGUAAAAAAAAAAUUAAAAAAAAAGGCCAUAUAUCUUACCUCCAUCGUCUCCAUCAAAUGUAGAAACAAGUUCGAUUUGACAGUUUAUUAAGCUAGAAAAAGGGCAUCUGUGCAACAUGGGAUCUUUAGAUAUUCUGGAUUAAAGUGUUUGGAAGUUAAAAUUUGUCAUACAUCAAAACCUUUUAAUGAAAUUUAUAGAAGUGUAUCUGCCAAUUAAAAUUUAACCAAUUAAAAGAAAAAUGGUGUUGCAUCUUGGUCAUAAAUUGGGUAUGGCAAGUUUCCCCAUACAUCCAUUAGAAAAAAUCCUCAACCACUUUUUCAUUAGUUUUAAGUACUUUUAUUCAUAUUUAAGUAUGUUAAAUAUAAAAUUUCCCUAGCCUGACAUUGUGUAAUGUCAACUACCAUUUUGAGUUCCCUGUUGCCUUAGUCGUUCUGUCUACAAGAUUGUGUAAUGUCAACCCUGAGAUUAGUCAAUUCUGAAAUUGUGAAGCAGUCUUACCCUCUCUAGAAGCUUAUUUUAGGAUUAUAAAUUUCCUGUUUCCUUUUUUUUUUUCCCCUUUUGUUUAUAGGUUGCCAUUUUACUUUUUGAGUGUUUCCAGUAUUUAUAUAAAUAUAAACUUCAACUAUGUGAAAGCCAACAUCAGGUUUCAUGUUCUUUUCGGAUAAACUACACUCUAAUCCUAUACUUCUCUUUUCUAAUCUUAAUGUCAUUAUAACUUAUAGGGCUACCCAAAACUAUUCGUGUUUAGCAUUUUGCCCGUAAACUAUGAAGUACAGGACUAUGAUACCUUCAACAUACAAUUGCUUUGCAAAGUAGUGCAACAAUGUAAUUUGGCUAGAAAUCAAAUUUAGCUGUCCUUUUAUUAGUAAAAGACAAUUUUUUCCUCUGAUUAUUGUUUUCUAGUGAGAGAUAAAUAUCAAACAAGAUUUUAAAAAAAAAAAAAUUCAGCACUUGAACGGCUACUUUAAAAAGCCAAUGAUUGCAAUUUUAUUUAAUUAAAGAGCUUAUUAUCUUUUUAAUUGUGAAAGGCUAACUAAUUUCCCGCACAAAAUUUUUGUUGUUGAUCUAUGUGAUGAUGUAUUAUAAAGUUCUGAACUACUAUGUUUUUAUUGCAAAUAGUUUAGGGGUGUAAAUUACAGUUAACCCUAAUUUUAUAAGACGUUCUCAUUUUUUCAGGCUGCAAUAGCAACAUCUUUUAAUUUCUAGUAGAAAAUUUAGUAAUUUCUUUAAAAAAAAAAAGUUUACAACUUUAUUGGCCACAGCUCAUGAAUAGUUGGAUCAGACUGAGAAUUGGCAUCUAGAAUUGGUAUUCCAACUUCUGAUGCAUUCACCUUUCAACCCUUGUCCUAAUAACAUCAACCAAAACACAUGAUCGAAUCCCGUUACUAUACAUCAAUGUUUAUUACGAAAAGAUCAGCUGAAGCAAACUUGUAUUUGUUACAACGAAUUAAAUUGAAAGAAGAAUUCUCACAAUUUAAUCCAUGAAGCAAAAUCCUAAUUAGUAAAUUACAAAAUUAAUCGAGUCAAAUAAAUUGCAAAAUUACAAAUAAGAAUAAUUGCAAAAACUGAACCGUUUUUUGUCCUUGCUGCUACGAUCUUUAUAGUACUGAAUUUUUAGAUUACGUAUGAGAACAGAAUAUAGUUGAUGAUGGAUGACUGUGUAAUAAAAACGGCAGUAUAUUUUUUAGACCAACGUAAUUUGGUUGCCGACCAGUUUGGUCGUGUAACAUUUUUAACAGAUUUGGACAACAGAAACCUAACUACAUGGAGUAUUUGUCAAUAAUAUUAUGUCCUCGUCAAUUAAUCAAAAUUAGAAACCUACUAAGUGGAAUUACCAAAUGAAUAAAAUUGAAAUUAAACACAAGAUUACAAGGGAACAAAUUGAUCCCAAAUUUAGUGCGGAAGGUAUGAAAUAAGGAUCAUCCAUAAUGAACAUUAGGAGAAUAAGAUAAACUUGGAUGGGCAAUAACUCUUGUGAUGCAACCACAAAGUUUAUAGUUUGACCUGUAUUUUUCAGUUUAAAAAUGGAACUAUUACGUGUGGACGGCUACGAGGAGUCUUGUCCUAACAGCUAUAUCUUGCACCGACAUAAAUAAAUGGAGUUGUAGCAAAUAUAGGGAAUAUGCUCCAUAAAUUCUUGGUAAGUUUCAUUCACAACCAUACUAGUAUUAGAAUGCAUUGUUAUAUUUCUUAGUGUCUAUCUAACGGACGCUCAUUGAACACUCUUUAAAAUAUAUUUCAAGUGUUCAAUUUUUUUUUUUUUAAAAAAAGUGAAUUUUAUUAUAGAAAGUAUAUAAAUAUAAAAAAAUUAUUAUUAUUAGUAUGUGUAUAUACAUAGUAAAUUUGGUGUGAUUCGGAUGCGUGAACGAGUAUUUAUUAGACAUCCGUUAAAAAAAUUAUUUUUUAUACAAGUCUAUGAGUCAAAUCGAAAUAUGUGGAGCAUUUAUUGUACAAAGUGCUGCCAACUUGACAUGGAUAAAUGAAAGAUAAAAUUGAUAAGAUGAGUUAUCACACUAUUGUAUCAUUUAUGGAGCAUUUCCUUUUUCUUGAAGCUGGUAGAAUUAAAUUUGAGUAGUUGAAGUAAAACACUAGCAAAAACUCCGACGGAACUAGUCAACUACAAAAAUGAGUUGACUCAACGUUGAGUCAAAAUGGAUGCUAGGUCCCUUAUGGGGCAAGAUUUUUUUUUAUUUUUUUUUCCAAGAAAAACCUUUUGCUGCUCAAUUUUACGCCGCAAUAGUCAAUGGCCAAUUUGGACUGCUAAUCGAACUAAGCAAUUGCACCGACCUCGAAUCGUACAGUUCAUGCGGUUGCUCCUUUGUUAUUGGAAUUAUCCAAUUUUCAGUUGUCUUCACACGAUGGAACUCCUCCCUCCGUACCAAAUUGGGAGUUCAACUAUUGCCUACUGUAAAUCCUUGUGGUUUGGAUUCUCUCCCAUGGCUUAGUUGGGUCUUUUCCUUCCCUCAUAAUCACAAAAAGUACGCUAAUAUUAUUUGCAAUUUGACACAAAAAAUUUUGAGCAAUUUACAAUCCAUGUUACAAUCUAAAGGUGGUGAUAUAAGUAAUAACAAUGACCUUGCACGUAGAUCCUUGUACCACAUCAGUUCUUUCAAUUUUGCGGCUAAUUUGGUGUGGAGUACAGUGACAUCCUUUGCUUGCUAUCGAUAAUAAAGACUGACAAAUCUAACAGAAUAAGAAUAAAAGCAGAGAAUGACAACUAAUAUAUCUGAAUUUGAGAUGGAUUCUGAAGAAAGGUUUUGUAUUUAAAGCUUAUACAACAUCCCUGCCUGAAAAAACAAUUUUGCACAUAGUGCAUUAGGAAAAUGUAAUGGUGGGCACAAUUUACUAGUCGUCUGGUACAUAUGGUCCAAAUAAAGAGAAUUUACAGCCUUAGACUUGGAUAUUUCAAGGCCCUUCUUGUUUCCUUGUCUUUGCUCCUCUCUGAACAUGAGCAUAUUUUAAAGCAAACUCGAUUUUAUAACUUAAGCAUAUUGAGAAAAGACGUUUAAAGAAUGCAAAGACUAGCUUAACUGAAUUCCAGCCUGUAUAUCUAGUCUAUUCCAAAUGAGCCUAAUCAGGCUUAGCUCUUUUUAUACACAAUCUAAGAAUAACGUAUACGCUUGAAUGAAACACUUGUAGUUUUUCUGUUUUACUCACAAAACCUUUGUUUUUUGUAGGGUUUGAUGAUCGAGUAGUAAUUUGGAGCUAAAUGGAAGAAGUUUGAAGAAACCUUGAAGCGCUCGAGAAGUCACUAGUGUUCGUGGAAGCAGUUGCACAACAAGAGGAAAAGUGUUAAAGAGUUUGCUCAUGAAAAUUGUUAGAAUCCUGCCAUGGAUUGUUGGAAUGGAUUCAAUCCGUCCAUGGAUUGCAGUGGUAGAAGACUGGAUUCCAUCAGUGAAUUGAAGGUAGAGAGCAAACCAAAUGAGCAAGAAACAAGAUAGAAGAAUCCGGCUAUGGAUUGUUUCCAGGUGAGCCAGAUUUCAUGCAUAGAUUUAAGAAUGUUCAAAGCAGAGUUAGAAGAAUCUGGGGGAAAAAUUCAUUUUUCAUCCUCAAACUUUGUGACUAAGACACAUUUGGUCCCCAAACUUUUUGACUAGACACAUUGAGUACAUGUAUUAACUAUUUUUUGCCACAUUUAGUCAAAAAACGGGAAAAUUUUCAAUUUGGACGGUGAAACCCACGUGGCCGUUAACUUAUGCGUCGGGAAUCAAUGCAAGUCAAACUAAAGUCCACACAUUCUCUCUCUAAUGCAAGUCGACACAAAUAGUGGAGUUUUGGUGUUUAAAUCAGUCAACUACAAUAUCAGUUCCUCUUCAAUCAGCAAAAAUUCACUAUUUCUCCGACAUCCACCCUGUAGUUCGCAAAAAGGGAAUUGAGGAGAUGAUAACGAAUUUCCCUGUUGUUCCCAAACAGGGAACUGAGAGAAUUAAGGUGAUGAUCUCGACCAGUUUGUAGGAUGAUAUUCCAAAUAAAUUCAAGAAAGAUAUACCAUGCCUUAGGCUACACCUACUAAACUUGCCGAGUUUGCUACGGAGUGACCCAGUUAAAAUGCGUUCUUGCAAGCUUGACUAACUAAUGGUCCGCCACACAGAAGUAAUAGCAAAUAACAACAUGAUUUUUUAUCUUCACAAGCACCAUAACUAAUAACAGAAAUGAAAAUAGUCACAAAAUCAGCAGGGACUAAUCCUGUUUGUUGUCUUCUGAUGGGUUAGCCAGAAUAUAAGUCAGAUCAAGAGAAUAUUGUGUUGCUCUAAUUACCUGGAUCUCCCAAGGAAAAAACUUAUCAAUCUCACAAAGAGGGGCCAGAGUUCAGUUUUUGCAGUAGAAAAGAUGUUGUUAGUUUCCAAGUUACUCUUAUUUGAAGAUCCAGUGAGAGACUGUGGUGCGGCCUGCAAGGAGACUUUUUCAAAUGGCUUUAACAAAUCGAUGUGUGUCUCACUGGAAAGUGAAGACAGAUGGGAUGACCCGUUCUGCAAAAUCAGAAGAAACAAUAGAUUCCUAACUACUUAACUUCAAAAAUCAAAUUUAAAAAUAAAGCAAAGAAUUCUAAAAACUACAAGUAAAAUUACUGAGUUUACCUCCCUCCUUCCUCUUUUGUUACAUAGUUUUGGUAAAAAGGCAAGGAUGAAAAAAAUAAAAAUAAAAAAGAAGAACUCUUACCUCUUCAAAGAGUAGCAUAAGGUUAUUCCAUGCAUCAGGGAAAGGUUCUUUAACAGCUAAACUUCUCGUGCAGUGGUACAAUGCCAGGAAAGCAUCGCCAACAUAUGUUGCUAACAGUGCCAGCUGCAAAGAAACACAAAUUUUAAGAUCGAGGAAAUAUACAGUAGAAUAAGUUUAGCAAAUGAAUUUGAAUGUAGAAACUUCUUAAAAAUCAGGAUUAAACAAUUGCUCCAACUGUUGCCAAAGAAUCAAUCUAGAAAUGAAACAAGGUCCGCAGGAUGGUUUCAAAAGUGACUUUUGUUCGCCAAUUCAGGCUUGUCCCCAACACUAGUAGAGAAUUUGGAACUGAAAAUAGUGUAAGAGCAAAAAUGACAGAUACAAAGCUUUUCUAACAUUCUAGAGCUAAACAAAGCCUGUGUUCAUCAUUAAGUAAUAUGAAGAAACCUACUUGAUUAUGGGGAUUCCCGCUAGCUGGCCAUAUCCUGCUUGCUUCUAAGUAGUAAGUAAACGCAACCGACCAUUUAGAAGCAUCCUGUUUCUUACAAAGCUCGCCAUAUCUAGCAAGAUCCCCAAGACAUAUUAGAAAGCGGUGGCAUGCAAACUGACACUUGCUCAAUUUCAUUUGUUCAGUAGAAAAUGAACUGUCUCCUUUGUUAUACAAGAACACCUCCCCUGGCAGACCACAAACUUCUCUGAAAGCCUUGGUCAAAUUGCUAUAGAAGUCAGUCGCUUCAGACAGGAAUGUCUUGAAUCACUCCCAGUACACUCAAAGCUUCGUUGAAUCACUCCCCUACCUCUGCUAAUCUCACGCAGCUUUUCACUCCACAAGCUCGGUGGGAAAGAGAUAAACUUGGAGAGGAAAAGGAGCUCCACCCUUAGACUUUGAGUGUACUUUUAGUCAACAUUUUGUGUCGACUUGCAUUAGAGAGAGAAUGUGUGGACUUUAGUCUGACUUGCAUUGAUUCCCGAUGCAUAAGUUAACGGCCACGUGGGUUUCACCGUCCAAAUUGAAAAUUUUCCCGUUUUUUGACUAAAUGUGGCAAAAAAUAGUUAAUACAUGUACUCAAUGUAUCUGGUCAAAAAGUUUGGGGACCAAAUGUCUCUUAGUCACAAAGUUUGAGGAUGAAAAAUGGAUUUUUCCCAAGAAUCUGGCCACAGAUUAUGUUUAGCUUGGCCGGAUUCCUUGGACGGAUUCCAGGCGGAAGGUGAAAAUUCGUAGAAUAAAAUGGAGCAUGCAAUCAAGCCGAACUGAAAGACACAAUGCGUCCGCAGAUUAUGCCCGGAUUCGUAUGCAACAUGCGUAUCUUGCACUUUCUUUCAUCCAUCUUCAUGGAUAUGAAGGGAUGAUUUUGGCAGAAGAUUGCAGAUAAGAUGCAAAAGUAGAAUCAAUAGUAAUCUAACCCAUUAGGGUUAGAGAAGCUCCAACAAUUACAAGAAUGGAAGAAGUUUAUUUAGCAAACAAGUUUUUCUCUCAAUACUAGGUGGGGAGUGCCCGCGCAUUGCGCGAGUAUUUGGUAUCUGUUGUUAGAAAGAAUAUUUUAUUGGACAAAUAAUAGUACAUUAUGUAAAGAAAUAGUCAUCAAAUAUGACAAAUCUAAUAAUAGUAUAUUCUAAUUGCAGCACACACUUGUACACUUUAUUUUAUCAAUACUUUUACAAUUUUACUAUUUCCAAAAAACCCCUACAGAUGUUAUUUGAAAAUCGCCUAAAAACAGACAUAAGUUGUUGCAGACAAAAAAAAUAUUCUCCAACGGCUAGUUAUAGCAACGUAUUAAUUGCACAACGUGUUAAUAUAUCUUUGUGUUAAUUGCACAACAAAAGUUACAUUUCAAUUAAAUGUGUCUAUAACACCAUUUCAGUAAUUAAACCAACACAUAAGCUUAUAUGAGUUGUACUCGAUGCAAAAACUGUUGCAAAAUAAUUCCAUAUUCCAAAAAUAGCCAGAUAUCUCCAUAAAUCAAAGCUUUAAACGUACCAAAAUGAAAGCAUUUCGGUAAAUAUACCUAAACACAUGCUGCCCUCAAUUGUAUCAAAAGUUUUUAAAAAACUACACAAUAAUUCAUAUUUCCAAAAAGCCCCUAUCCAUGCAGUUGAAAUUCAAACUCCCUUUACCAAAACUCAUUCUUAUAUAAUAUAAGGAUAAGGAUUUGUCAUCAUGGCCCUGCAAUUCUCCGCAUUUGAUUCAAUUAGUAAUUGUUUUUUAUAAACAACAUGUAUCCUUUUAACAUAAUAAUAAUUUGCAUGUAUAAUAAUUUGGCAAGUGUAGGGGAAUGUUUUCUCCCCCAUCCCCACUCUUGCUCCUGACCCAUUGCUCGCUAUGGGAAUAUAUCCAUCGAUUAUGGGUUGUUUGCUAACUAAAUCCAAAAUCUAUUUUAGUUAUAGAGACAAAGAAAGAUUUUGCUAAAUGAAGUACUAUUAGAUUAUGAAGUUUACCGUACAAAAUGUAUGGGUAUUUAGUAAUAAAAAAUGUAUGUAAAAUUCUAAUGCUGUCAUCCUCUAUCAGUUUUGGUUCUUAGAUGGAUUUUACUAAAUCAAAUAACAUGUGUUGACCAAGAAACUUUAUCACAAAGUCAAUUGACAUAUUGUUAUUAACUCACUUUGCAUUAAUCAUAUACUAGUAAUCCAUGCAAUAAUAUACAAGUAUUAUAUGUAUUAUGAUGUGGAGAUUGAUCAACACAUUUUGAAAUAAAUACAUAUAAAUCUAAUCAAUAAAAUUUAACUUGUGUCUGAAUAUGUACAUCUUAUAUUAACUUGCAUAUUUGAAAGAGCAAAAGGUAUUAAUACGGUUAUUUUUCACGUAAUGACUACCUAACUAAAGGAGAUAAAUUGGGAAAAAGCAUAUAGAACACAACAAACAGCUAAUACGAUGAGGUAAUAGAAAGCUUAGAUCGUUGAUUAAUAAAACAAUGAAUGAGUCUUCUAACAAAAUUGCUAGCAUGUCAAGUAAUUCUUUACCGACCAUAGGCCAAAUGGAAGAGUAAAAGAAUUUGGCAAGACCAUCGACAAACUAGUCUUGAUAUUGCAAAAUCCUUUGGCUGUUGGUUAAAGUCUAGCAAGUCAGUGUCUGCAGUUUGUUUGUCACAAGUUUUUUUUUUCCAGAUUGUUUAUGCGUGUUUGGUGGUUGUAUAAAAUAUCUGCAUUUUCCACCAUUAGAAGAAGUAACAUUAGAAGAGAGCCUGUUGCAUAGUGUCUCAUUGCCCUCGCCUUAUAGAAAUGGGUUCUACUGCAUAUGUUUUUGUGCAAAUAUGACCCCGAAUUUUUUACGACCAAAAUAACGAUACUAGAUUGUUUUUAGGCGUCUCUAGCAAUUAAAGUUCGUUGAUUAUGCCACAGAAUCACCCAUGAAUUUGUACAGUGUUUAUUCAUCCAGUUUUUUUUUUUUUUGGAAAGCAUAAUUUAUAUAAUCACUUUCAAACCUGGAGCCAUAUUCAUCUCCACACCAGAAACUUUUGCUUGUUUUUUGAUAUUUUAUCUUUAUGUUAUAUGAUACGGAUAGCGAUUGCUUGACCCCCCAAGAAUAGGGAUCUUCCUCUUCCACCUCCUCAGUUAAUUUAAUUCAUACAUUAUUGGAAUUCAAGUUGCUAUCCUACUUAAUGAAAAUAAAUUGCACAUUUGGAUAAAGAAAAAUUUGACACCUCAAAGCCACAUACAAAACUUGUUUAAUAUACGGAGUACAAUUUUCAAUUCACAUCAUAAACAAGUGCGGUCAACUAUUUGGAUAAAUAAAACCACUUAAAGUUCGAAAAUCUUUCAAACAACAUAGCAAAUCAAGUUUGCAUAUGUAUAUAUUUCUAAGAAUACCAAUGUUUUUUUUUUUUUUGGCAAGAAUUUAUCAGCUGCUUCACUACUAAUGAUAUUUAACAUCCUCAUCUUCACAGUUGAGCUAAGCGACUAAUAUCCACGGGGUACGCAUCAGAUUGCUUUUCAGCUCUGUACGAUCUUCUUCCAACAAUAAUAUUUGCAGCUUCAGAUGGAUGAAAAGCAUCCCAAAACAAAUACUCAUCUCUAUUUGCACAUGGAGUUUGGAAAGGAAGACAAGUUAUUUGGCCAUUGUUUCUUCCAACACCACAGCACCCUGCAUUUGUCACCCUAAAACCUGCAUAUGGAAACAAAUAUCAACACACAAAUCAAGUUAAAUUCUGGUCGUUGACAAAAAUCAAACACAUCCCUACUUAUAAUUUUAUGCCAGGCACAAUGCACAAUAUAAAUCUAUAGCAUUUAUCACUCACAAUUCCUAGGAGCCCUUCUCCAAAUUUGGGCUUUACCUCCUUGAUAAAAAUAUCAUUUUAACCCUACACAACUUGCAGUUUACAGUACAAUAAGGAGAGUCCAGCACAGAACUGCUCCCAUUUUUAUGAUGGACGAGAGUUAAAUAAUAAUGUUCUUGAUUACAAGAAAAAGAGAAAGUCAGAUAACAAUGACGAAUGGAGCCAAGAAUAAUUACCAAAAGCUGAGGGAUUGUUAAUUAAAUCCUGGAAAAUGCCAUAAGCAUUGAUGUAGACAAACUUUGCGUUACUUCGGUCGUUGUUGAAUUGGUCCACCAAUCCCCUGAGUCCAUUAUUGAAUAUUUGAUUUGCGGAGUUAAUCCUCUGGACACAAGCUGUACCAUCAGGGCUAUUUUGGGCCAAUGCAUUUGGACUACAUCCAAUCUGACCCACUCCGAUCAAGGCAAACCUCCUUGCUCCAAAAUCAUAAAGCGUCUGCACAUGUAAAAGCCAGAAGAACCAAAAAAUUUGAGGCCCAAUUUAUAUGCUAAAACCAGGUACUGCUCUGAUCUUCUUCUUCUUCUGCUUCUUCAUUUUUUUUUUUUGAGCAUUUCAGAUUUAAUCAACAAUAAAAAAAGGAGUAAGUAGAGAAGAAGGAAAAUGAGAAUACUCACCCUUAUUUGUUCAGUAUAUUGUUCUAUAAGGACCUGAGAAUAUUGUUCAGGUGAAAAUUGCCUACUACUUGAGUAGUAGAGAGGCAUGAAAUAGUUGUUAAGGUAGUCAUUGCUGCCAACUCCAAUUGAAUAUAUGCAUUUGCUUAGGUAAUCUGCAGCAGAAUUUUCAUCUCCAAGAAUAUUUACCAUUUGCGAGACUGUAUUCUUGUAGUUGUUCACUUGUGCUGUAAAACUAAUCCUUGCACCCUAAAAUUUCACAAUGACCAAUGAAUUAGUAUACAUGUUCCCACUAUAUAUAUGUAUGUGAAAUGACGAUAGAAAACUUGUGAAAUCGUUAAAAAAAAAAAAAUUGGAAAAAGAUGCAAAUAGACCCUCAUACUUUUACUUAAUACAUUUCUAGCCCCUCGCAUUUGAAAUGAUGCACUUUGAUCUCACAUGUGAAAUCGUUGCAUUUUGGUCUCGAAGUCCAUUUUGAUUUUAUUCUAUUCCGAAAAGUGGACAGAAGUAUCAAAGUCCACUUUCUUUUUCUUUAUUUUUUGUCUUGGACUAAAAAUUAGAGGGUCAUAUAAAAUCAUUAAUUUUUUUUUUUUGGGGGAGGGGGGGAGUACGUCGGGAAAAAUGUAAUCCUUUUUAAGGUUUGGUGGCAAAGCACUCUCGCGUCCUCAGAAUUUUCAAGCAAAACUAGACCGAAAAUGGACGUUAGGACGAAAAUGUCUCAUUUUAAGUACGAGACAAGCAGAAAAAAAAUUAUAUAGCAACAAUGUGGGACUAUAUUUUGGUUUUGAAGAAACAAAAGUAGAGUUGAGUACCAGUUGUUGGCCAGUUUCUUCUCUAAUCCCAGCAGCUGCAGAUGCAUAAUUUACACCCUUUAAUAUCUCUUGGCCACUAACUUCUGCAUAGGGUGGAAUAGGAUCCUCGAACCCUAACAGCUCCGCUGAUAACAAAUCAUGAAAUUAGUGUACUAUUGACACAAGGUAUAGCAUUUGCAAUUGAUGCAAAAUUAUUGUUAAACAUCUAUACCAUAUAUUUUUUCUUUUUGGAAAUACUUCGCCAUGCAUUGAAGAAUAUUUUGAUUACUAAUUCACAGAGGAUACUAAUUUGUACAUUUCGCCUGGCUUAGCAACAAUAAUGAGCAGAGUAGGACCCUUAGAAUAAAUGCGCAAAAAAAAAUUGAAUAGAUUGUCAGAUAUGGAGCUUGUUAUUUGGACAAGAGUACCAUAUAGAAAGAGCAUUUCGAAUAAUGAAUUUGCUACAGUGGGCACCUAUUAUUUUUCUUGAACAAUCUUCUUGCUUCUUGUUGUUUGGUUCAAUUCCGUUUUAAGAUGGUCCCACUUGGAAAAAGUUGGUGUAAUAUUUUCUAUUUAAGGAUACCUAAUUUAAUGUCUUAGAACAAAACUAGGUGACUAUCAUAAUUUUUUGUUAAUGUGUUUUGUUGUAUAGAUUAUAAUUUUUCCGUUGCACUACUGGACACUAUUUUUUCCUCAUACAUAAAAGUUUACUAAUAAACGUAAAUAAAAAUGCAGUAAAACCUACCCACAAAAUUAGAAAGAAAUGAGGUAGUACAUUUUAUGGUAAAUUUACUUAGAGAAAAGGACUCAAAAGUCAAUUUAAAUGUAUGGUUCACUGUUCAUGCAACUAAAUAAAAGUAGAAGGGAAACUUGGUGAAAUAGAGGUCUCAUGAGAAGAGAUUCAUGGUGAAAAUGCAGACUUCAAAACAAAUACGUAUAAAACUGACUCCUAAAAUUCGCGAGCAGAUAUCGGCAUGCAUGUUUAAAAGAGCAAAUGAUUCUGGCAUUCUUCGCAGAAUACCAACCUCAUCAUCUAGGUUUACAAGCAGACAAAAGAGUGGAAUUGAGAGAAAGGAAUGGAGAUCCAAACCUAUAACAUCAACAGUGGUUUUUCCAUUGGAAAACCUUCCACUUGGUCCACCAGGAUAAUCAACUCCAUAAGGCAAAUAAUUAGCUUUGGCUAGGGAGUUGAUAUUAUUGUUAUUGCCAUUGUCUACAAGUGAAUCACCAAAAAUGAAGUAGCAAGGAACUUGGGGUUCUCCGUAGACUCCAUUAUCAAGAUUUAGCACCAACACCACCAACAACAGACACCCCACCAAGAAUUUUUUCAGCUCACCACCCCUUAGGGCCAUUGCCAUGCCUGAUGCCCACUUCAAGAGAAAUAUCCCACCCAAAAAGGUGUCACUGAGUUUUGCAGAAAUGAGUAAAGUAGCAGAAGGAGAAGAAACCUUUAGGUUAGUGGAGGUGUUGCUGAGUGAUGAAAUAUAGAAAGAUUGGAGGUAUUAUAUAUAGAAAAUUGUGAUCCAAUUAACGGAGAGAAUUGAGAGACGAUGAUUUAGCAAUUACUAAGUUUAUGGAUGCGAAGUCGGUAUGGUGCAUUAAAUACACGCGGGUAAGGUACUGUGAGUUUCCAGGUACCUUGUCUCACGCUGGUUCGUCUUUUUCCCCCUCUAUUGUAGUGUUUGGUAACCAAUUUGAAUUGGGUUUUUUUAGCUGGUGUUCAUGGUGGAUUAAAGAUGUUAAUUUUUUUUAAAAAAAUGAAGUUAAAUUGAGUAAGCGUCUUGUGUAAUAAGACACUGUAUAUGAAUUCAUGCAUACAUAUGGUACAUAUUUAAAUUUUGAAAUUUGAAUGAGAAAUUAAAUCGAGUUAAUGCGUGGGACACAGUAAAUAUGUUUAUAUAUAUUUAUAUAUAUAUGGUAAGAUGUGUGCAAAAAAAAAAAGGUACUAUUAAGGAAAAUCUUUGAAUAUAGGGCUUAUACUUCAUAUUUAAAGCGUUUACUUUCUAACUUUCUAUCUUUGAAAUUACGCAUUAAUGAUUUAGCAACAGUUUUUGAAUUUAUUUUUAUAAUUAGAAUUUACAACCAUCCGUUUUUUUUUCCUUCUAUAUAUUGAGAGGGAAAUUUUUUUCUAAGUUGUGUUUGGAUUGCAUUUUCCGUCAUUUUUCAUGGAAAAAUUACUGUAGCGAUUUGAUAUAUGUGAGGGAAAAAGGCGAUAGGGAAAUGUGAUCACGGAAAACGACAAUAUUUUCCGACGGAAACAAGCAAUCCAAACAAGGCCAGGCUGUCUGUAAGAAACAUGUUGUCAGUUUCUACGUGUACUCAAUGAACGAAAUAAUCACAAUAGCAGUUCGAGGCUAGCUCCAACUUUAUGAGAAUUAUUCUGCGCUUUGACUGGACAGUAUAGCUAGGGCAAAAGUCACUAUGAAAGUGUCCAAAAAUUAUACUCCCUCCGUCCCACUUUGAUAGUUCUGUAUUCCUUUUUCAUCUGUCCCAAAUUAUAGUCCACUUUCCAAUUGAAAAAUGUAGUUGUAUUUUAAUUUUCCUAAAAUACCCUUAUUCAAUGUAAGUAGUUGUUACUAUAAACCUACCCUAUUUAAUGAGAGUUGAUUCUUUUUUUACCAUCAAUUCAAGUUCCCAUAAAGUUGUACCAUAUUUAAUGUGAGAGUAUUUUAGGAAAAUAGCAAUCUAAAUUUACUUUUCCAACAAAGUUAACUACCUUUUUUUAAACUGUGUGAAAAAAGAAACAGGACUAUCAAAGUGGUACGGAGGGAGUAGUUAAUUUCCCAAAUAUAGUGUGUAACUUGAUUACAAGUUACAUAAUGACAGAACUCACCUUUUAUCUGGUUGAUUUCAUGUGAGAACCCGUACUUUUCUUAAUUUUUUGGUUUUAAUUUCUUUUAAUUGCACGUUUUUCCAUAUUUUCUUUAUUAAAAAAAUUUUAAAAAUAAAUUUUAUGCGUAAAUAUAGGUUUCAAAUGAUUUUUCUAGUAUCAGUUAGUUUUUGAGAAAUUAAGAACAUAUAUCGGACGUGGGACCCACUAGUGUGGAAAGUUCGGUAAAAUUUGGCCAGUUAGGUUAAGUUUUGGAUACCGAAUUUAUUUUACCAUGUGCUAAGAGAUAAUUAGAGGUUGUUAAAUGGAUGAGAGUGGAGAGACAAAAGGAUAAUUAUAAGCCAAAAGAGAUGCUAGGUGUCGCGUUUUCAUUGGACCUUGGUUUUGACCACUAUUCACCAACUUUACUAAAUACCAAAAAUUGACCAAAAUGAGUUUCAUUUUCCCUUGCUCUUGGCCGGCCAUGGAGGAGAGAAAGAGAGAGAGAGUUUCUUCAAUUUUCCUUCAUUUCUAGCUUGAAUCUUACAAACCUACCGGUUAAAUUCCAAAUUUCUCCACAAAAGUGAGUUGCUAAGCUAGUUUAAGGUGUUGAGUGGAGCCAUUUGUGAAGAACAAGCUCUAGUUGUCUUGUUUCUUGGAGUUGCAAAGGUGAGGUAUUAAAUAUCUUCCCUCUCAUGCUAAUAAUGAUCAAUUAAGGAUUUCUAGUGGUAGAGCAUGUCAUUUUAUGGAUGAUUUCAUGACUUAUUGGUGAGAUUGAUGGAUUUUUCUUUUGUUCAUGAAUUUUUCUGAUUUCAUAUGAUUGUUAUGGUGUGGCUAUGUAUGAUGAUUGGAAAUGAUCUAGAAUGAAGAUAGAAGGUGGAAAAAGUGGUUAAUUGCUGGAAAUUUCUGUUUGGGGAGGAAAAUUGGAAAACUAGGGUUUAUGUUCCUACAUUCUACCCGAUUUUGUAGCUCAUAGUUAGAGGCCGAAUUGGCCUUGGGUUAAAACAUGAAAGUUGUAGGGAAUGAUAUUUUAGAGGUUCCUGAAAAAUUUCAGGUCAAUCGGAGCAGCCUAGCUUGAGAAAAGAUGGAAUUAACCUUGAUGCCCUGGUUUUACCCGAAUUUGGGAAUUGCUUCUGUAAUUGGUUAUUUUGGUUAGGAAUGCUUCCGAAUUGGUUGUUGAGGUCUUCUGAUGAAAUGUAUCCCUAUUUCUUAGCUUUUAGAUGGCUUUAGAAUUUCUGGAUUUGGACUUAGGUAGGCUGAUUUAUGAUGUUUGCACUAGAAUGCGUUCUGUGAAUCUGUUUUUACAGUUCUGGGGUAGUAUCUUGCAUUUUUGACCUGGUUACACUCGAAACUGGGCUGAGUGACCUUCUACAAUAUUGUAACCCUAUCUCUUAGCUUCAAAAUAGUGGGUCUUGCACUUUCAUCCGAUAAUCGUAGUGCCAUUGGUACCAAAAUCGCAAAAUGACGUCAAAAACUGUUUUUUUCGGGUUAACGCUUAACUCCAUUUCCGGAUUUUUCUGAUUUCCUCUAAUGUUUAUGUAUGCUUAUGGAGCCCUAUUUUGGUGGUAUUUGGAAUUGGUUUAUGACUUGUCAUUGAGUCUUAUUAUGCUUAUUUGAAUAUUUUAGGGCUUGACUUUCAUUUUCGGACUUUUCCCUAGCUUGAAUGGUACUUGUACUACUUGGAACUUACUAAACGGCUAGUGAAUGAACUUAUGUUGUGUGUGACUUUGGGACUGGUUGAGAAAAAUAAUGAAGCCAUGACGGCUGGAAAAGUAAGCAAAUUUAGGGGAAAUGCUGUCCAAUUUUCUAGGCCGUUUGGUUCCUUUAAGUUUGAAUUGCCUUUUGGUAGAAAUGAAGGGCGUUUGGGUUGUUUGAACCUAGGUUUUCAUGUUACCUUUCCGUUUCCAAAAAAUCAUGUUUUGCACCCUUGCAUUAAUAAUUAUUUGGCGAGGCAUACGACUGGUAGUCGAGCCUCACAUGUGCAUUCUGUAUACUUGAUUUUUGAAAGUAGAACCUUCAAUUGUUUUCCUUGGAUUAUUUUAGGGUUUCUUGGUGAUUAAAACUCUCUUUUGGGAGGUAUCUGUACUGACCCCGAUGAGUAUUCCACUACCUGCUACCCGUUAUGUGAAAUAUCUGAAUAUCUGAAAUACUUGAUUUAUGACUGUUGGAGCCAAAUACUGUUUUGAUAAAAAUGGAGGCGAGAGUGUAUUUUAUCACACUCGUUCUUUUGUCUGUUCAUAUGCCAAUUUUGAGUGUGUAUCUGAAUCUGCUAUCUGUAUCUGGUAUCUGUAUCUGUAUCUGUUCUGACGUCGUUUGGAAGCUUGUAUCCAACGACCUUUCUGUGACCUCUGAGCUCAACACCUGUGGCCAAUUACUCGAGUCGGGCCGGCAAGGGCCUGGUCGAUUAGAUAACGAACCACGGUAGUCUAUUUUGGGAUUUUUGGGUAUUGAGACCCUCGAUUCCGGUAUACUCGAAUAUUAUCAUUUCUGAUCUGAUUGGAUUUCGGGUCCGGUAGGGGUAUGUGAGGUGGAAGGAAUCGGGGAAAGUGGAGUCUACGGUAUUGGUUACUCCUUUAGCGUUGACGGAGUGUCAACUAUUAUUUCGAUCAAGCUUCGGUGACGCAAAUGGGAAUUUGGUUCUUGAGAGCCACCUGUAUCCUUCCUAUUUGAAUCAUUGGUUCCUUUGCUUUACAUCUGACAUGUGUACCUGAUUUGUUAAAUGUGAAAUGCCAUGAUUUUACUGCUAUAUGUCUGGUACCUCAUUGAGCGCAAGCUCACCCCUUUCUGUUCCUUUUGUUUUCCUUAUAGGAAAAUAAAUACUUUUGGACUGGAUUUGAUAGUUGGUUGCCGAAUUGAGCUAGUUGGACAUAUAUUUUGUAUAGCUCAUUUAUUGAAACCCUAAAUGUACUUUUGGGACCGUUUCUCUUUUGACUUGGCAAACCAGACAUGUAUCCACUUUUGAAUACUUUUGUAUGCCACUUUGACUUGUAAAUGCUAAAUUUCAAGAUGUGAAUGUUUGCUUGAUAUUUGGUUGGGUUCUGACGGGUCGGUUACUAUUCAUAGCCGACUCCGGUUUCAUUUUUUUUAUUUUGACAUUUUGACUUGUUUACACGCGUUUGUAAGUUCCGGAACGUAUUAGCUCGCUCUAAACUAAACCGUUAGUCCUGGCGAGAGUUGGGCAGGCAGUCCGCUAACCCCUUUGGUUCGCCUUAGGAGAAGGUAGGGCUGUCACAUUUCAGAACUUUCAAAAGUAAAAUUUUCAUCACAGUUAAGGAAAAAAAAAAGCGGGGAAUUUCAAAAUUCAUAGAGUAAAUAAUUGUGAAAAAAAGCGGGGAAUUUCAAAAUUCAUAUAGUAAAUAAUUGUGAAAUAAUAAGACGAAUCUUUUAUGCACUAUCUGUGUAUACAUUUACAGACCUAAAUUCAUAUGCUACGAAAAAAUUAAUCCUAAUAAUAUGUGCUAUAUAAACCACUAAUCAUUGUGCAUAUGUUACGAAUCAUCCAUAAUAAUGUGCUUGUUUCAUGGUCUAAAACUCUAUUUGAACUUAUCAUUUAUAUCAAAAACUUAUACUAAGUGUGGAUUCGGGAUGCAGUUGAUUUGGAUUCAUCCCCUUCUAAAAGAAUUCGUGACGGACAAAUCUAAACUCCCUUACAGCAUGGUUGAAUCAAUAAUAGUCUGCAUACAGUGGCCAGCAAACGAUUUGACUUUGUUUUCUUCAUCACUAAUCCAUUACCCAAGUAAACGCCUAAACGGUCAAGUGGUCUUCAAGAAGUCCCGGAUUAACUUUUCAAAGUCAAUACCUUACUAAUGUCGCAUUCAAAUUCUUAAUUGCAAAUAGAUGCUCAUCGUUACAAUGGUUUUCGUGAUUUUGCAAUGGAAAUUGCGAACAUAAUGAGUUCACAUUUUGCUCGGAUAGUCAUUUACUAGUCGGUGCAAAAUGUUGGCCAGUGAACAAGAGAGGGCUUUUAGAUUUUUUUUUUUUCUCGCUAUCAUAUUCAAAUUUACCUGAUAAUUGGGGGUGGGAAGGUUGAGGUGAGAGGUAAAACUAUCUAGUUCUUACAUUUCUUUCAGGGAAAUGGAAGGGUUUCAAAGUACAAUCUAGGAUCUACGGUUUUAUGGUAUUGUCCCUAUUCAUUGAGUUGGAGUUGGGAGAUAAUUGUACAAUUUUGCUAAAUUUGGUCGGAAUAAUACCAACUGAAUUAGGUUUCGGAGACAAGGUUCAUAAGUUGCUGAUUCUGCUUUGUAAAUUUGAGGAAGCUAUCCCAACCAUUUAACAUCUGAGGAUGGGCAGUGAGACAAGAACUGGGACAAACUUUUUGAUGUUGGAGACAUUUUAUUAUUGACAAAGUCAAACAAGUAACACUGGAGCAAGCAAACUGCACAAGUAUCCUCCUACCUAUUACCAAUGAGGCAAUCACAACCGCCACGUGCUCCAGUAAUAAAUUGGAGUUACGAGUAUUAAUAGUUACACAUGAUUUCGCUGCCCACGACCCAUGAUCCACAAUAUACAUUGGAGUAUUAUUUCGUCGAGAAAAUUAUGCAAACUACUACCACUUCGAUUCGUGCUAUCCAUAAAUUAACAUUUUUAAUCAAGCCGAUAAUGAAGUAACAUUUUAUUAUAUGAAGAGCAAAAAAGUUACUAAGUUUAAAAAAAAAAAGUGAUGUUUUUGUAUCAAUUUCUAUCACAACGUGUCAUUUCAAUUAAAAGCGAAGUGAAAAUAUUUUUCCCACCCAUCAAUCGAGAAAACUAUUUUUUGUAGUUAAAAGCAAAGUGAAAAAAAUUUUCCAGCCCAUCAAUUGAGAAAACUAUGAAUCAGCACAUAGGAUGUUCAUAAUUAUAUAUAUUCUCACGAUCGCCUAUUGUCUUUUCCAUUACAAAAAAAAAAAAAAAAAUCCUCUUUUCUUUCAUAUUGCCAACUUGAAAAUUCAGAAGCCUUGUUGAUUUUUUCAUUUUUAUUUUUAUUUGGUGGAGAGAGUACCGACACAAGAUCUUUGCUCUUUUGCCUUCGUUACCAUACUGACAAUUUAUCCUUGUUUAAAGUAAAUUUUACUGUCAAUUUAUCCUCUUUAGUAUCAAAAGGUAAGCAACAUUCGACUAGCACAAACACAAUGGGAAAUCACCUUUUAUAUUUAUGACACGAACAAUCCACAUGGCUUCAACAGACUCAUUUACUUUUUCAAAUCGGCCAACACCAAAGUCUUCACAUGUUUUCCUCCUGUUGCAUUAAACUCCAUGCAACGCGGCUGUUGGACAAGAAAGAUAUUCAUACAUAUAUAACCUUUUUACAUGGCAGCACCAAAUUUAACGAACCUCUAAACCAGCCCCACUACCUCCCUUAAAUUCCUAUAAUAUUCCCGUAAAAUUUUGAUACAAUUUCAAGUAUGCCCUCAAAAUUUUAAGAAAGUGAAAAAAUUAUGUGAUUUUUUAAAUUAUUUCAUGAAUUAAUAUUCUAAAAGGAUACAUGGAUCACAAAAUUUCAUUUGAAAUAAACUACAAAAGACUUUUCAUUUUAACUAAUUGAUGAAUAUUUUUUUUGCUUAAAAAAUUAGAAAUAGAGCCGAUAAAACAUUUUAAUAUUACAUUUGUCGCCCCUGAAAAUUUUUUCUAGCUCUGCUCUGAACCACGAAACCCAUGUCAAGAUUUUGGCAGCUAUAAUUCAUAAACUUCACCAAAUUAUACGCUCUGGAGAGUCAAAUCAGCAGAUUUGGAGCAUUUAUAGUACAAAGAGAUGCCAACUUAAGAACAUUAUUACUACUUGGCAGAUAUGGAGAAUAUGACAGAUGAUAAGAUGAUUGACUAUUGUAGCAUUUAUUGGGCAUGUGAUUGUGGAUUUUCUGAAGCUGGUGCAAUUAAUUUCUAGCAGAGUAGUUGAGCAACAUUAGAAAGAGAUGCUGAACUGGUCAAAACUCCAAGAAAGGGCAACAAGCUUGAUCUACAACAAUUAGGGCUGCAAUGGUUGCCGUAUCUCUUUCACUUGCACCGAUGGAUGCUUUACCCUUUUUUCUGCUGGGGGACAAAACUGUCAAAAAAUAACAAUAAUCUUGUGCAUAGGUCCCUCAUACACGUUCAGUUCUUCCAGAUUCCGGGCCACUUUAGCGUGCUAUGAGGAGCAGGGAAACACCAUUUGUUGCUGAUAAAAACGCGCGCAAUAACUCGAGAAGGUUUUCAUCUUCAAAAUACAUCAUGCAUGAGUGGAAUCCAACUUUGCAUACACUGGAUGCAGACACAGAAAUGAAAUCAGAAGGCCUUUUCCUCGUCUCCUCUUGAAGUUGAAAAAAGAAUAAUACAUCUAAGCAUAAAAUCAAACGAAGUUACUGCAGAAUUUAAGCUACUUGAUCAGCAGAAUACCAACUUUAACUUCUAUUUAACAGAAAGUAGUCAGACGAAAGGGAAAUAUUGCAGCUACUAGUUUUGUUUAAGCCCCAACAUUCAGCAGCAUUAGCUAAUAUACGAUUCAUGUCUCGAUAAGAUAAGCCACCAGCUUUGACGGACAGACAAGUUAAUUAAUUAAUAACCAAAAAGAUUGAUCACAGAAUAAGCCAAGCCUUUCCUGGAACUCAAAAUGAAUCCAAUCCCUGCUGAGUGUAAGGAGCCCUCGCACAAGCGUGAAUUGUGGUAAGCAAUGCUUCAUGAGCAAACACUGUCAAGAAGGAAAUACAGAUUGCAUAUCGCAGCAUGGUGAUUAAGCAUUCCUAAUCGUUUACAGUAAUCACAACAACAUCUGAAAUUCUAAGUUGUGAAUGUAAAUGUACCUAUCCUUGACUUGAGCUCUUAUCUUGGAAAAAAGAUAGUCAACAGGUAGAAUUGAUAAUACAAUAGGAGUUGAACUCUUACAAUUUCAAAUGAGGAUGUAAAUUUAAAAAAAAAACACACACACACAUAUUCGGCUCUUUCAGUUUUUUGGAGCUGCUUUAGCAUGUAGCAGGGAGCAGCGUAACAUCAAUUACUUGUUGCUGAUCAAGACAUUCGUAAUACUCCAGUUAAUGAACUUAAGAAAGGUUUGCAUAUUCAAUAUACAUCAUCCAAGAACGGAAGACAACUUCAAACAAAGUUCUGCCAAUAGAAGCUAUGUGUGAUGCAGAAAAUUUCAGCCCAUGGAAUUGGAAUCAAAAAGACCUUCUGUCUCCUCUUGGAAGUGUUGAACAUAAUUCACAAGAGGUUAGAAUCAAAGUUCUGGCAAAACUUAAUUUGCUUCAUCAGAAAAUAGAACUUCAACUUCUAUAUCUAUAAGAAAAUAGUCAGCCAAAAGGAAAAUCUAGCAGCAAGUGGGGCUAUUUUGAAUGACUAGCAGGACCUUCUUUAUGCCACUUGAGCCAAGUAUAAUUACAGCAUUCAGCAGCAUUAGGUAAUAUAGUUUGGUGACAUGUCUCAAUUAGAUAAAGUAUCAGCUUUAAAGAACAGCUUGACUAAUACUGACACCAAAUAGACAGCAGCUCAAAAUCAUUUCUUUAUUGUUAUUUAGAAUGCUUGCAGUGCUUUGCCGGAAAAGAUGCAUCAGCUACUUAUGAGCUCAAAGUCUAUCCAGAUAUUAAUUUAGUAAACAGGGGUCACGUAGAAAAAGAUGAUAGUCUAGGGACUGAAUUAUCAAAUUGAAGUUCAAGAUGAAAAGUAUUGCAAGUAUAAUAAUGCGAGGAUGCAAAAUGGAAUCAGUCUUUUCUAAUUCAAUUUUCUUUUCUCAUUUUACUCUCAGAUUUGCACUCUGGAAGUUCUCAUUCAGCUCUAGUCAUGUAUAAAAUUAACUUAAAAAUAGAAAGAAUACAUGGAUAGAAAAUGAUGAAACUUUCAAAGCAUGAAACUUUUCACAUCUCUAUGAUUCUUAAUGUAACAUAACCAGAGUCUAAGGUUGAAGGUGAGGGCCUUUAGCUAUGAGGAACCAGUUUGUAGGACAACUCCGGUCAAUGUGAAUAUGUAAUCUGUCCAAAUUUGUUGAUACUACAUUUAAAAGAACAAUAAGAUAGAUAGAUGCCAUUUAGAGUCCUAUAAGAAAAUCAUGAUUGAACUUUUUUUGAAAAGAAAGAAGUCACACAUAUUACUAUACUGGAAACAGGUUCUCAUACCAAUAUUAUAGCAUAGACAUCUUAUUAAGAGAAAGCUGUAAUUUCAGAGAUGCAUCACAUAAUGUUAAGUUUCAAAUACACACAACCCAUAGCAAAUCAAGAGCAAAAUUGCAACUGACUUCCACUUACAAGAAACAAGCAGGAUGUGAUAUGAUUCUCAUGCGAAGAAAAGCGCACAUACACAAAGAAACCCGAAAGAGAGGAGCUUAUAGCCAUAUAAAAUGGUAGCAGACCAAAAGAUGCAUAUCACUGACCAAUUUGACACAAACUGAUACAAUCAUUAUGUGAAAUUCAUCAAACUAGCUCAGCAGGUAAACUACAUUAAAGUACGCCAGGCAUUUUUUCUGAGUCAUUAUAUUCAGGAUACAGACUCUUUAGGCUAUUGUUUACCAUAUUGGAGGGACAAUGAUCUGUUUGUGAAAGAUAAGGUUUAAAUCCUUUUUCAUCAGAAGACCUCACAUUAUUGCAUAUCUUAAUGUCGUUUGACAUAUCUUGACACCCAUAACACUCCUAACAUAAUAUUCUAGCAAAGCAAAACCUAUUGGUCAUAAAAACAGCAUGAUAAUCAUCCAAUUCUGUAUCUGCAAUAAUUUAGUUGCUAUUUGUUUCUUAAUACAAUUUAUAAGCAUUUGAGAAAUAGAUACAUUCUCUUUGCAAUCUCUUAACAAGAUAUUCUCAAUGAAAAUGGAUCUGACAUAUGAUACCAAUAUCCAACACUUUGAAUUGAAAUCUUAAAUUAUGAUUAGCUGAGAGAAUUCAGACUAUGACUAGCUGACCAACAUCCCGUUCAUGCCCUUGCACAAAAUCAUGUCAGAGUUCUAAGAGAAUGCACUGCACAUCACUGUACCAAAUUAUUGACCUCUGUCAAUCUCCCCACCCUUUGAAACAAGACAUACAGACAGAAGGCCAUAUUACCCAGCAACUAAGUCUUUAUCAAUGUCCCAGACAAAACAAGAGGAAAAGAAUAGUCCAAUAUGUUCCUUUAACAUUUCUACACGAACAAAAUAAAUUGAAGAGAUAAGAAAACACAAGUUUGCAAUUGUCACAGUGAAUUCUGAGAUUCAGUCCAUUAGAAGAUUAAUAUCCCCCAAUGCUAAACGAGAAAGGUGCCCAACCCCAUAUUGUUUCUCAUCAUAGCUUAUCCCUACCUAUACAUUAACUUUUAGAAGAUAAAUUUACUGACUUGAUUAAGAUAAUUUAGGCAAGUCAAAGGUAAAAACAAACUAAGUUAAAAUGGCUGACUGAGGCUAGCAAAAGAAAGGGUUAGACUAAACAUUAUUAGGAGUGGUUUAACUAAAACAGAUUCAAGAUUUAUAACUAUACAGGAAGUAUUACACUAAAUAGAGCCAAAUGGAAGAACUGAACUCAUCUAGAAGAAAGAUUAAAGCUUGAAAGAUUACUGUGGUGGAACUCAAUUUGGGUUAAUUUAACAUGAUAUUGUUCAUGUUCUCACCGCUUAGAUCACCAUUCAGUAGGUACCUAAGUAACAAAUUCAAGCAACAAUACAGAACAUAAGGCCAUGCAGUUUCCAGUUAGCAAGGUUUUCAUUGAAAUGCCUCCCUAGAAAGCCAGUUUCACACAACCUAGAGCCAUUCGGCUUUCUGUACCAUUUAAUCUUUCACUUGACAAGCAAAUUGGAACAAAGGAAAAUUUAACUUCUCUAUAGUGAAAAAGAGAAAGUAACAUAACUCCAAGUUUACCCUCGGUGAUAAGAAGACUACUUACAAAACUAGGCAAACACAAAGAGGUUGUCUAUGCCACAUGAUUUGUGGCUUUUUGUUCCACUUCUAAAAUUAGUUCAGAAUUCUGCUUUUUACCUUAUCUCCUUGAGCCAUUCUGACAUCAUUGGAUGCAGAAAUGUGUUUUUCCCAUUUAUUGUACCAGUUCAGUAAGGAAUUUCCAAAUUGUCCUUCGCCUUUCUUGUUUGUGAAAUGUUGGAGCUUUCUUCCUUUGCUAUUUUCUGAAAGUUGCCCACUGUACUAAUUUCAUCCUAUAAGCAAGAGUAUACUCCAUCCCCUGCCUUGGGAAGCUAUUGGCACAGUUUAAAAGCUCCAAGUAAGAGAUACACCUAUUGUAUAAAUGGUUUCUGUGAUUGAGCUCUAUGGAAGCCAUCUUUAGCUGCACACAUCCCAGAUUAAUACUUAUUUCUAGAAAUCUACAAUUCCCUCCGAAAUGUUAUGUGACUAUUUCAUGAAAUAGGAUAAGGAGUUGCAUACUUCCAAUAUAUCAUUCCUAGAAGACAAACCUUCCUUCAGAGUGGAUGAUGCCAGUAAAAUUGCUGCCCUUAAAUUCGGCAUAAACAUUUCAGAAGAACUCAGAACUUCAAAUUCGAUCAAAACCAUGAGUGAAGUGCCCCAAAUAUCAGAUGCAAAACUUAUAGUCAUGUUCCAUGAAGCUCCAAAAUUGGAUUCCCUUUUUUGCUCCUUUAUGUUUUUCAUAAACUUAACAACUUCUGCUUGAAUGAUAAGGGCAAGAAUAUAAAGAAACUGAUUCAUUAGGGCACGUAAAUCGACUUGAUCAACGUUAUCUACUCCAUGAAACAGCUUGGAAUUUAUACUCAUAAUCUGCUGAUAACAUUCUCAUAACUGUGAAAAUACAAAAGCUCAAGCAUAAUCUUAAAACUCAAGUAGAUCAUUUCAUUUACUCCAAGCUUUUUGUAGAAGUCUUAAUAACAACCAAAACUGCUUUUUGAUAACAUUUUGAAGUGACUACAGGAUAGACAUACACAAGCAAAAGGUGUCUUCAAACCCUGAAUUGUUCUCCCAUAAACUCACAAACAUGAGAUGAUCACAAGUCAGUUCUGCUAAAUGUCGAGGCAGUAUACUGUGCAGCCAUGUCCUUCAGAACUUGGAUCAAGCCCUUCAAGUCAUUCGUACCUAACUCAAGACAGUCCCUUAACAAGUCACCCUCCACCACCUCUUUCUGCAUUGUCUCAACAACUUCCCUAAAGGGUCCCUGCGCCAUACCCAUUAAAAACCUUUAAAAAAAUCAUCUUUACAUGGAAAAACAGUGCUUUAUUUUAUAUUUCUAAUCACUUCCAUCUGUAAGCUGCUUACCAUGUUCCAGAAACUUGUACUUAAACUAGAAAAUAAUAAAAGAAAGAGAACUUCAUCCAAAAAUAAAUUCACUGAACUUAUUCAUUCAACUUGAUAUUUAAACAAUCCAUUAUUCCCAUAAUCACUGCAAUGAAACAUCUUUUAACACUAAGCACUAAUUCUGUUAAUUUUUGUCUAUUUUACAAACUUUACAAGCUCGAUUUUAAUGCUUUUCUUUGAACAUAUGGCUAUUUUCUACAAUACUUUAGCUCAUUCAUCAACUAAAAUCUUUCAAAACUUAGCUGAAGAGACCUUACCAUGUCACAUAAUAGCCAUACAAGAAAGUUUAACGAAAAUGGCACGCUUUAAUCUCUAAUUCAUAAAAAGAGCAUAAUUUUGGGCUCAUUGUUAUAAAAUAGUAAUUUGUACUCACUUUUCUACAAAAUUUACACUCUUUAUUUACAUUUAACAAUUUGUAGACAUGUCCAAAAUUAUGCUUUUUUAACUAAGCAUCGCAUCCCCCCCCCCCCAAAAAAACACACAUAUCAAUGCCAGGAGAAAAUUUUUAUUAGGUUUAAAUUGCAGAAGUUGGGGAAAUAAUAACUCAAAAAAAUAGAGAAAAAAAGCAUUACCGAUUGUCGAAAUAUUUUGAGGAGUUUAUCAAACAGCGACCUGGAAACGGUGAAGACUCUAUUAUAGUUUCGGCCGACCCAGGCGACUCGCUCGGAAUCAGAGCCGACUCGGGACAACUCGUUGAGCUCCCUGAGCAACUCGUUAAGGUCGGAAACGGCAAAGGAGAGGUCAGUUAAUGAGACCGUAUUGAUAUCCCGCCAGGCGUAAUUUUUAAGAUAGUCCGAACCGAGGUUCCAAGUGAACUUGCAGAGGCCUCGUCCCUGAACUGACUCGAUUUUGUGCGCUAUAGUUCGGGCACGGGCUGAGCCCGUGAAGUCGCCUCGUGAGGCACGGAGGUUGGCAACUCGCAUAGCGAGCGAGUGGGAUAGGGAAAGGAGAGUGCCGUAGUUGGAGAGAGGGAAGGAGAGGGAAAAAGUGGGUGAUGGUGCGAAGAGGAGGAAGAAGAAGAGGAGGAGAGAGAAGAGUUUGUUUUUCAUGAGAAAAGUAAGCAUUGACUGAGAGAGAAGAGCAGCGCCGCUUUCCACGGUGGCGGUGCUGGAGGACCGGCGGUGGUUCGGAUUCUUGGAGAAUGGCGGGGAACAGAGGCUCCGUGUAAUUAUAUCAAACGACUGAAUAAUUAUUAGUAAAUAAUUAGUUUGUUUGAAUAUAGUAUUAUUUGGAAUAAUUACAGUAGAAUAUUUCGUUUGCAUCGUAAAUAUAUUUUUCAACCCAUAUUUUUAUAUUUUCAAUCGCCUUUUUUUAUCUCACAUUCUACUUGCAUCAUAAACACAUUUUUCAACCCAUAUUUUUAUAUUUUCAAUCACCUUUUUAUCUCAUAUACAUCACAUCAUAAAAAAUACUACAAUAAUUAUUCCAAAUAAUAUUAAUCCCUCCGUCCUAUUGAAAGUAUCUUAUUUUCCAUUUUGUGAUGUUUCAAAAUAUUUAUCCUAUUGAGAAAAUCAAGAUAUCUUUUAGUCUCUUUUUCUAAUAUAGUCUUUCUCUAUAUACAUAUACGUGUUACUAUUCAAAUUCAAAUUUUGAAUUUGUGUGGAUAAAAUUGGAAAGAAAAACACAAAUAUCACAAUCAAAUCACUAUUUUUUAAAAGUUGAAUUUUCGAAAUAUGAUUAAAUAAUUGGGACGAAGGAAGUAAUAAAUAAGACAUGCUCUGAUUAGAACAUAGGCUCCGUGAAUAACUAGAGCAUUAAUUAACUAUUAGUAAAUAAUUAACAAAAUAACUGUUGAGAAUUUCUUUAAUGGUGAACAGCGACAUAUAAUUAUAAAAUAACGCCAAUUGAUAUAUCAAAUGGCGCUAUUUUGUGAUCGAUAAAACUUGAUAAUGACAAGAAAUUAGUUGUAUACAAUAUCAGAAGAAAACUUUGGUAGAAUUCAUGUGGAAAUUUUCUUUGAAACACUUGAACUGUAGUAAUUGUAAAGUAAUUUCGUGAAAAUAAAGAAUAAAUGAGGGAAAAGAAAAGCAAAUUUUGAAUUUUUUUUAAAUUCAAAAUCACAAAAAUCGUAGCAAAACUUAUAUUAAGAGAAAUGACUGAAUUUGGCGAUUAUUAGUGUAGUUUUGUUGCUUAUUUAUGUUGUAUAAUGUAUUAAAUGUGAACUUUUUGAAUAGUGCAAUAUAUGUGUUAAUUGUUUCUGACUUUUAAUUACUUUCAUUCUUUUACUAAUAUAACUUAUAUACAUGCAUAAGAAGCAUUUAUGGAAAAAAAGUUUCAUUUUUUCCCAUAAAGUACACUUUUAGUUUUACUUGGACUAAUGCUGUUACCAAAACCCUAAUUUCAGAGGAGGUUUGUGUAAUUUUGCAAACUUUAGGGGAAGGUUAGUGAAAUUGUCAGAAACCUCAGGGAAGGUUUCUAAAAUUAUCUCUUAAUAUUUUUUGUCAUGAUAAUUGGUACAAAACUUUUCAAGAAAAGAAAAAAAAAAUUAAAGGCAAACAAAUGAAAGAUUGAAUGUAGAUGUUGAUGAAACUUUGAAAAUAAAUAGUUUUAGUUGAAAUAGUUCUUUCUUUGAAUCUACAGUAUUGCAUUCAACAUCUUGAAUAUUAAUUUUGUUAUUUAAAAAUUAAAAUUGAAUUAUAUUUAUGUAAUUUUUAACUAUAUAUUUUCAAAAUAUUUUUAUUUUAGUUAUUAUUCACUAUAUGUUCAGAAAAAUAUCCACAUAUAUCUAUUAGAUAUUUAGACUCAUGAAGGUCUAGGUCUAGGUCUGGAUCUACUUUUUUUAAAUUCCAUAAGUGUUUGAGUAUGGAUUUGGAUACUUAUAUCCUAGUUAUAUUUAUUUGGAAACUGGGGACUAGGAAGGAACAUGAAGUUAUGUUUACGAGACUGAAGGCCUAACUCAUUGAUGGAGACUAGGAACGACUUUGUACAUUGAUGGAUAAUUUGGUUAUCAUCUCGUGUCAUCUCAUCAAAUUAUUAAAGACUCAAUUUAAUUAGAUUCACGUCACCGUAAUAACUUUUCUGAUUCUGUAGUUAAUAGUACAUGACUAGAGUAAUAAAGAAUUUUACUAGUUACACUCGCCCUCAUUUAGUGCUGUAUCGAAACUAGCAUGAGAAUUUAUUCAUUCACCUGCAGACUUGUUUAGACUUCAAAACGUUUGAAGGCCUAGAAAGUAAAGCAGCAUGCAUAGGACAGCAGACCAUAACAUUUUCAAGCAAGGGGCUCGAACUCCAAAGGGGAUUGGGACAAUUCGAGCAAAUGGCCAGGGUCCGUUGGUUAAGUGCCAGUCUCAUUCAUUCGUUCAUGCAUUCAAUUGUUCAUGUGAUUUGGAGUAAAGGCAAGGCAGAAAAAGUGGCAGGGGUAAAGAUGAGAUGACAUUGACAGCAACACUACACUCUGUUUUUCCAUUCCUACCACUUCCGGAGACUCUUGCUAGGACUGUCAAUGGGUUGGAUCAGUCUGAAUUCGGCUCAUUCGCCCGAUAAAAAAUCUGAUGAGCCCGAUCUUUUAGUGAGUCGAUCUGAGUUUGAACCUAAAAAUUAGGUUCGAAUUAAUAUGAGUCGAGUUUGGGACUUAUUACGCUCAAACCCGAUAUAAAUCUGGCCCUUUAAAUACUUAUAUAUAUAAUAUUUAUAUUUUGAUAUUAUGUAUAAUUAUAUAUCCAAAUAUAUUAUUACUAAAUACUAAAUAUAUAUAAAUUACAAAUACAAAAAUACAUCUAAAAACUCUUCCAUGAGCUUUCUUGAGAGCUAAUACUAGUAAUGCAUAACUGAAUCUCUAACUUUUCUUAUUGGUUGAGUAAAUUUUUGUGUUGGCAUAAUAUUGGUUGAUUUCUUUUUUGCCUACAAACACAAAUCAUCAAACAUGUUUGGAUUCAAAUCACAAAAUUAUAAAAAAAAAAAAAAAAAGUUUCAAUUUUUAAAGAUGUAUUGGUUUAUAAUCACAUGUUUUAUUAUUAUUUUUCAUGCAUUUUAAACGAAUUAAAUAUAAAUAUUGUUGAAAACUUUUUGGUUUAUAUACAUUUUAAGAACUAUUAUUUGUUCAUGUUUAAUUUUAAUAUUAUAGUCUUGUAAAUGUUAAAUUAGUUUUACAACUUGAUAGUUAUAGUAAUUAUAUUAAGAAAAUUAAGGAGUAAUAAGUGAGUUUGAGCUAAACCCGAUUAACGCUCACAACACGAAUAUUAUGUGAGUUGAGUAUGAGAUUCAUAUUUAUGAACCCGAAACUCAUAGAUCGAAACCCGAAAAUGUUUCAAAUUAAAUGAGUUGAACUUGAACUUAUGAAAGCCCGGAUUAUUAGACCCGAUUGACAGACCUAGACUCUGCACACCCAUGCAUAUGCGCUUCUUUAUCAGUACCACAUGCAUAUGCGCUCUUCCUUUUUUUUCUUUUAGGUUCCUUGGUCUUCGUUGAUACUUUUUCUCUUUUCUCUUUUUGCCUUUGUUUUUGGUCAGUACAAUUUGUUUUCGUGUUCAUGAAACAAGAGCAUGAACUUAGAAUGUUUUGAAUACAAGUUAACUCAAUUGAUAAGAAUGGUUCAUUUCUUUAUAAAAAGUCAUAUGUUCAAAUCAUGUUAUCGAUGUGAAAAGUGUAUUGAAAGUGAUUUAUAUAAAUCUCGAGAAGCGGUCUAUAGUAACUAAUGUUGCAUCUACCUAAAUUUUUUUUCUAUCAAAAAAAAAAGAAUAUGAAAUGUCCAAAAUAGCAAGGACCAGUACUUAGAGAAAUCUUAAACAGUUGCCCUUGCUUUUACUCAUAAAGGCAUCCUUUUACACGGUGAAGUUGUCUAUUCUCCAUUUCCUUUCUAACGAAGCAAGUAUAAAAAUUUCUAGCUGGCUACCGGGCUGACAUUCAAAAAAAAAAAAUCCAAGCAGGCUGCUGGGCUGUCAACUCGACCGCCUUUCAUAGAAAUUCCCAACUAGCUGUCGGGUUACUCAGCCGAGCAGCCCAAUAUUUUAAAAAAAAAAUUUACCUUGCCUGCGAGGCUGCCUGUAAUUUUUUUUUCAGCAAUAAACAAAGGAAUUAGCCUCAUUUGUUAAUAUUUGUAUGUGAUGUUAACAACGACGAUAAGAAGCCUGCUCUCAUAUUAAAAGGUUGGCCGACUGGACUACUUACCACAAACAUUGACAAAGCAUAACAAUCAGCUAAGUUGAUCGACCAAGGAGGAAAAGACACACAGCGCAACGACAUUUUCAUCCUAAAAUGAUCGAAUACAUAGAUAGGCCCAAGGUCGAACACUUCAAAUAUCAAGGAUCAUCAUAAGGUAGAGCAUCCAUCCCUUGUAGUACAAGUUAUAUAUGACACGACAACAUUAUACAUACGUACUUAGGAUCAUAAGGUAGAGGGACUGUUCAAACCACCAUACAGACAUCUUUGAUUCGCAAGAUACAUUCAGCAUUGCAACUGACAGUGGCAGGUCAACGACUUUGAUAUGCUUAAAGUCAGUUGAGACUAAUAAUAAACCGUA
Molecule: long non-coding RNA, 46959 nt
Filed under: Coffea arabica (coffee)
Lineage: Eukaryota; Viridiplantae; Streptophyta; Magnoliopsida; Gentianales; Rubiaceae
Description: long non-coding RNA (CARA_LNC001603)
Source: RNAcentral